RNAcentral lists this long non-coding RNA (65831 nucleotides) under Solanum tuberosum (potato). Its description in RNAcentral is "long non-coding RNA (STUB_LNC004858)". Lineage: Eukaryota; Viridiplantae; Streptophyta; Magnoliopsida; Solanales; Solanaceae. The record is from RNAcentral.
CUGCAAUUGGGAUAAAAUCCCAGGCAUUUUCAGGUUAGCUUCCUGUGCAACCUCACCAGUUGAAGAUCUGAAAUCAAAUCGAUCUGCACGUCUAAGCUUAAACCUAAUUGACAAAUUUCCAUAUGAUUUUACAGUUGUGUGCCAGAUUUGACGAAUUUCCAUAUGAUUUUGCAGUUGUGUGCCAGACACCGGUAACAGCAUAUUGACUCCCUGAAGAAUCCUCGCCAAAGGGCCAUCUCAACCCACCCUUAACUUCUGAGUCUAAAACGGCAGAACCAAUAAGAUUUUUAAUUUCAUUGAUCUCAUCAUCCUGGAAAAAAGCAGAGAGUAAUCUAUAUAAGAACACAUUCUUAAGCUAUAGAGAUAACACUACCGGUGUCCUUUCAGUUGAGAGUGCAGAAGUCAUGAUGAGAAGAUGGAAAUUAACGUGCAUAUAAAAUAAGUUACACAGGAAAAGGUCCUUGUUCACUGGAGUGGAGGUAAAAUAUGGACAUUAAAAGUGCAGACAAAAUUCACCGGUACUCUAAAAUCUAUAGGUUUUGUUAAUACCUGUACUUGCCAAUGUAACUAUCAAAAGUAUCAUCCCUGGUACUAUAUGACCGGACAAUUUAAAGGCAUUAGACUAGAAGAAACAUCAAAGGAUACCUCAUUUUCCAACUAAAGGAAGUCUGAUUACUUGGUGUGUAACUUCACCUUUGGUUGGGUUUUCGAAGCCCUUAAAUCUUAUUAAGAUAAGGGUAGCUACUUUGAGAUCCCAAUGAAAAUCAAACUCAUUAAGUAACCACACUAACACUGAAUGCAUAUGAAGAAUAUCUUCAUUUCUACUUUUUGCCUCUGUAUCCUUUUCCUUUUUUUCUCUUCUACUUACCCUCCUUUGGAUUUCAUUGUAGAAAUGAUUCAUAUCUAGCUCAAUCCAGUAACUAGAGGACUCCAAUAACACGCAGUAUUUGAGCAUCUUAACCCUACUGGAGUUCAUAUGGUCAGCCCAAUAGGCUAUUCACUUUGCUGUUCACAAACAUCUAAUCCGACCCCAAAUCCACGAAACAUGAAAAAACAAGAAAUUUCAACCAAGAGUAAUUAAAUGGAGAUGUUUCCAGUUUCGGAAAAUAUAAAUCCAAAAAUUGGGUGGAACUUACAAAUAUGAGUAUACGACCUAUGACUUUCAAGAUAUUUGAUCCAAAAUGAAGUAACUUACAGAUGAACCCAUCAUGAUUUUCUUGGUAUGUAACAUCAACCUCAGGUCUAAGCUUUUGCCAAAACAGCUCAUGUCUGCAACCAUGUUGCGUAUUUGGUUCAGCUCAAUCUAAAAGAAAAGGCGUAGCAUCAGAAGAUUGAUAAGGAAUGACAAACUGCAAGAAGUAAAGCAUGCAAAAAGAUAGGUAAGAAAGAGGAGGUAAAUAUGUUCAUGACAACAAUUAAUGUUGUUUUGCUAGUUGGAAAAUAAACAGUUAAUUGGGCAUCUUACAAGUUCAUUAAGAACCGGGGAACAGAGGACUAACCUUAUGGAGCUGAAUUUUCUCCUGAUCCUUGACCACCGUACAUUUGCAGGUGACAAUUGAAUCAGCGUGCAUGUUGUCUGAAAGCUACAAAGCACAAGGGAUAGUACUAAAAGAACCAACACAUAAAGAGAAAGAAAUUUGUUAGAAACAUGAAAAUAUUACCUUGACAUAGUAUAAUUCCUUCUCUUCCACACAUUCUAAGGCAAGUUUUUCAACUGCAAGGUUUCGUAUAUAUUCCAUAUAUGAAAGAGGAACAUUGGUAUAGAAAGUUUUUUUCAUUUGCCUCAACGUAGUCUCACUUAAUAGGUUACUUUUCAGGGAUUCUUGACUUUUUGCAGAAAUCCUACAAGACAGAAUUUGAGGAGGAUUACAUGUUAAACACACACUGGAUUUAAUCGACUCAACAAAAGAAGAAACAUUAUAACAUCUAGGAGAAAAGUUAAAAGAGUUACAUGUCACAGUAAAAUAAGUCAGCGAUUUACAGAACUUGUAGUUUUAGGUAAGUUCUAAUUUGCCUUACAAGACAAAAAAUUGUGUACUAUAAUAAAAUGGAUUUGAAUAAAACUGAUUAUGAGAAAUGAACAUUACUAACCCAUGAAACAGAAUUCUUCCAAAACGAGCAACUAGAUUCAGCUUCAAUUCUUCCAUAUUAGAUUUCUCCAUUUCACAUUUCACAUGUUGAAAUGACAAAAGUAAGUCCUCCAUCAUACUAUUAGCCCCCAAACGCCAUGGCUCAUCCAUAAGCUCAUUUGUUCCUCCACUGCAACCUAAAAAAGUAGAUAUAUUACAGAAUUAAGAUCUCAAAAACAGAGAAAAAAGAUUUUACAUUGUUUGAAACCCUGAUCUACCAAACUCAAGAAAAUCAGAAGCAUUUAUCAAAAGAACAAAAAAGUAGUAAUACCUUGCAUUAGGACCAAACGAAGAGGAUUUGCGUCAGAUUUUUGGUCGAUAGAAAGAGGUUGGAGCUUCACAAGAGAUGAAAAGUGAGAAUCAUCAGUCAAACCAACAGGGAACCAUUUCCUAACUGCACCAUCAGCAUAACGGGUCUCAAACAGAAACUUUUCCUUUCUCUUGAAAUUAAGGUUUUUUCUGAAAGCAGGUAUGAGGGAUUCCGGUGCGGGAGUUGGUUCCAGCGACGGCGAACCCUUUGUGUGCCUCUUGUGUGGUGGAAUGUAAGACAUGGCUCAGUACGAUCAGUUGCUCAGAGAGACUGUUCAGUUGUAGACUACACUAUAGUCUUCUUAAAAGGGAAAAUACAUGAAAGAGUGUUUGGAUUGGCUUACAAUAAAGUUACUAAUGAUAUUCCUUUCAAUUUUAUUAGACAGCAAGAAAGGUAGUUUGACGGAUGUAUGAUACUUUUGUCACCAAUUUGAAUAGUUUUGAUAUAUUUCACAAUUUAUGUAAUUUUAUGUUUAUGUGUACAAAAAUAUAUAAUUUUAAUAUUCAAAUUAUUUGUCUAAAUAAAACUUCAAUAUUUCCUCCUAGGUGAUUCAAAUCAUUAUUUCAUCUUACCUGGCCAGAGGGGGGUUUAUGAAAAAGUUCAAACAAAAUAACCAAAAAUUAUAAAUUUGCAACAAUUAAAAAAUAUUUUAAAUUUUAUUUUAUAAUAAAAGAAUAUUGAAGUUUAGGUUAUAAAACACUUACUUAAUUUAUGAAAAUAUUUAAAGAACAAAAUGAAAUGCAAUUGCAUGCAGAUUAGACCAAUUGCAUGUUGUAAUGUAAUAUACAAAUGUAUCUCAAAAUAUGAUUUGUAGUAGACUAAAAUAUGUUGUGAGUCAUCUAGUAGCUGAGAAUCAAGCUAUAUUUGUGUAAGGAAGAUCAAUGGUACUUAAUAUCUUGAUAUUUCAUAAUAUGUUGAGACAUUAUAACAGAAAGACUACUCCUAGAUGCUUGGUGGAGAUAGACCUCAGGAAAGCAUAUGACAUGGUGAGCUGGGAAUUUUUGGAGGAAGCUCUGAGAAGAUUUUGAUUUCAGAAAGUGUCAUUAAAUGGAUAAUGGUAACAACAAAGUUCACUUUUAAGAUCAAUGGAGAAGGUUAUGGUUACUUCAAUGGAAAUAGAGGAUUGAGACAAGGAUACCAUGUCCUCCCUCUACUCUUUGUACUAAUUAUGGAGUACCUAUCAACGCUGCUCAAGAGCAUGACCUAUCUAUCAGAUUUCAAAUUUCACCUAUGUGUAAAGCUUUUAGGCUGAACCACCUUGUCUUUGUAGAUCAUCAAAUGACCUUCUGUAAAUGAGAUGUCAAAUUUGUUACCAAAGUCAUGGAAACAUUAGUUCACUUUAGUGUUAUUACUGGACUUGUGUCCAACAUGAAAAAAUCUAGCCUUUUCUUAGCAGGAAUGAAUAAACAAGCGAAUAACCAACUCGUGGAGAUUACUGGAUUUACACAAGGAUCUUUCUCCAUUAGAUAUUUGGGACUCCCACUCACAUCUAAGAGGUAGGGUAAACUUGAAUAUCACCAACUAGUUGAUAAGAUAACAAACAUGAUAUAAAAUGUCUAUGCAAAACAACUCUCUUAUGCAAGAAGGCUCCAAGUGGUUCCGGCUGUCUUGUUUUCAAAUCAUAAUUUUUGGGAAUCAAUGUUCAUUCUUUCUCAAAGUGUUGUGAAGGAGGUGGAUAGGAAAUGUAGAGACUACUUGUGGGGUGGAACUGAGGAAAAAAGGAAAGCACCAUUGGUAUCUUGGGAGAAGAUGUGCUUCCCAAAGAGACAUGGUGGUUUGAAUAUUAAAGGAUGUGGGAAUUGGAAUGUGGCUUAUGUAGGCAAGCUUAUAUGGCAGCCAGAUGUGAAUAGGGAAUCAUUAAGGGUGAAAUGGGUGAAUGGGAUAUACAUCAAAGCAGAGACAUUUUGGAACCAUAGAGCACCAUGAGAGAGCAGUUGGUACUGGAGGAAAAUAAACUCUUUGAAGAACAAAAUGCAACAAUGGUACACACAAAAGGCAGUUCAACCUUACUGCUAAAUGGGAACUAUUCUAUCACAAGUAGUUAUACUGAGUUGACAGGUAACCAAGCCAAGCUGGAGGUAGAAGAGUUAGUUUGAAAUUCAGUGUCACUGUCAAGACAAAGGUUCAUUAUGUGGUUAGCAAUAUAAAAUAAAUUGCUUACAAAGGAGAGACUGUUGAAUAUGAACAUACAAGUAGAAAACAGUACAUGUUGCAUGUGUCAAGACUAAUCCAAUUUAUUUGGAGUUUAUUUUAUUAAAUUAAUCUUAUUAAUAUAUUUUGAAAAUUUAAACUUAGAUGUCAUUACUGUGAGAAAUAUAGGAGAAAAUAUAUUAUUGAAUUGUGUAUCUACAUUAUUACAUUGAGACUCUAUUUAUAGACACUACAUUGGAAUCCUUUUCCAACUAGGAUUCCUAUUUCUAUUCCUAUUCUAAUUAGGAUUGUAUAUACUUAUUCCUAUUCUAACACUUCCCCUCAAGCUGGUGCAUACAAAUCAUAUGUACCUAUCUUGUUACAGAUGUAAUUAAUACGAGGACCGGUGAGGAACUUGGUAAAGAUAUCUGCAAGCUGAUCAUUUGACUUCACGAAUUUCGUAACAAUAUCUCCUGAGAGUAUCUUUUCUCUGACAAAGUGACAGUCAAUCUCAAUGUGCUUAGUCCUUUCAUGAAACACUGGAUUUGAUGCGAUAUGAAGAGCCGCUUGAUUAUCACAGACAAGUUCCAUUUGACCGAUUUCACCAAAUUUUAGCUCUCCCAACAAUUGUUUGAUCCAAACUAGCUCACAAGUUGUUGCCUCCAUUGCUCGAUAUUCUGAUUCUGCACUAGAUCGAGCAACCACACUCUGUUUCUUACUCUUCCACGACACCAAAUUACCUCCUACUAAAACAAAAUAUUCGGGUGUCGAACGUCUAUCAGAGGGUGAUCCUGCCCAAUCAACGUCUGUAUAUCCAGUGAUAUGCUCAUGGCCUUGAUCCUCAAAGAGUAGUCCUUUAUCGGGAGCUGACUUUAUAUAUCGCAGAAUACAAACAAUUGCUUCCUAAUGACUAUCACAAAGGGAAUUCAUAAACUGACUUACAACACUCACAGGAAAAGAGAUGUCAGGUCUAGUCAUUGUGAGAUAGUUCAACUUUCCAACCAGCCAUUGAUACCUUUUAGGAUUACUAAGUGGCUCCCCCUGUCCUGGAAGGAGUUUAACAUUUGGAUCCAUAGGAGUGUCAAUGGGCCUAUAGCCCAUCAUUCAUGUCUCCUCAAGAAUGUCUAAGGCAUACUUGCGUUGAGAAAUAACAAUACCUGAUCUAGACUGAGGAGCCUAAAUACCUAGAAAAUACUUUAGUCUAUCAGGGUUGUUAGUCUGAAAAUGCUUAAAGAGAUGUUACUUCAAAUUAGUGAUACCAUCUUGAUCAUUGCAGUGAUAACAAUACGAUCAACAUAAACAACCAAAUAAAUACACUGAUUUAGUACAGAAUGUCGAUAAAACAUAGAGUGAUUCAGCUCCACUACGAGUCAUGCCGAACUCCUGAAUUACUUUGCUAAACUUUCCAAACCAGGCUCGAGGAGACUAUUUUAGACCAUAGAGUGACUUACGCAAUCGACAUACAAGGUUACUAGACUCUCCCUGAGCAACAAAACCAGGUGGUUACUCCAUAUAGACUUCUUCCGCAAGAUCACCAUGAAGAAAAGCAUUUUUAAUGUCCAAAUGAUGAAGAGGUCAAUGACGAACCGCAACCAUGGACAGAAAAAGAUGAACAUAUGUUAUUUUAGCUACGGGAGCGAAAGUAUCACUAUAAUUGAGUCCAAAUAUCUAAGUAUACCCUUUGGCAACAAGACGAGCCUUAAGCCGAUCAACCUGACCGUCUGGACCAAUUUUGACUGCAUAAACCCAACGACAAUCAACAAUAGAUUUACCUGUUGGAAGGGAAAUAAGCUCCAAAGUACCAUUCGUAUGUAAAGCAGACAUCUCAUUAAUCAUAGCCUGCCUACAUCCAUGAGAAAGUGCCUCAGCUGUAGUCUUAGGAAUGGAAAUAGAGGACAAAGAUGAUACAAAGGCAUAAUGGGGUGAUGAGAGACGAUGAUAACUCAAGAAAGUAUAAUGUGGGUUAACAUUUCUAGUGGAUCGUAUACCUUUUUAAAGUGCAAUCGAUUAACUAGGAGAAGGCAAGUCCGCAGUAGGAGCAAGGUCCGGCGCAUGAUAUGAAUCAUCUGGGACUAGUGUUGGGCGCCGACGACGAUGAUAAGUCAGAAGUGGUGGCACUACCACAGGAGAUGUAGAAGUAACUAUAGAUUCCUCAAACGUCGAUACAGGCAAGACCUGAGGUAUGGGUAAGACCUCAGAGACAUCAAAAUGAUCAGAAGAUGUAUAAUAAGGUUGAGACUCAGAGAAUGUGACAUCGGCGGACAUAAGGUAUCUACGAAGAUCAGGUGAAUAGAAAUGGUACCCUUUUUGAACUCGAGAGUAACCAAGAAAGACACAUUUGAGAGCACGAGGGGCUAAUUUAUCUUUACAUGGGGUUAAGUUAUGAACAAAACAUGUACUCCCAAAGACACGAGGGGGGGAUAGAGUAUAGAUGUAAGUGAGGAAAUAAUAUGGAAUGUGGAACCUAAUUUUGAAUAGAAGAUGAGGGGAUUGUCUAAAUUAAAUAACAAGAUGCAAGGACUGCAUCGCCCCAAAAAUGCAGCGGAAAAUGGGAUUCAAUGAGGAGAGUACAAACAGUCUCAAUGAGAUGCAUAUUCUUCCUUUCAGCUACACCAUUUUGUUGAGGGGUAUACUGACAAGAUGUUUGGUGAAUAAUUCCUUGGUGAGUCAUAAAUUCCUGAAACUGAGAGGAUAAGUAUUCUAAGGCAUUAUCACUACAAAAAGUACGAAUAGAAACAUUGAACUGAUUUUGUAUUUCAGCAAGUAAACUUUUGAAUAUAGAAAAUACUCAGAAUGAUCUUUCAUUAAGAAAACUCAAGUGCAUCUUGAAUAAUCAUCAAUGAAACUAACAAAAUAACGAAAACCUAAGGGUGAACUGACUCUACUAGGACCCCAAAUAUCAUAAUGGACUAAUGAAAAAAUAGACUCUGAACGACCCUCAGUACUACGGGAAAAUGUAGCACGGAUGUGUUUCCCAAGUUGACACGACUUACAAUCUAAUGUGGAUAAACUAGACAAACUAGGCACCAUCUUCUAUAGUUUAGAUAGACUCGGAUGUCCCAAACGUUUGUGAAUUAGGGCUGGAGGAUCUAUAACGGAGCAUGCUGUGAAGGAAUUUGAAGAGGUAAGAUAGCAAAGGCCUUAUGAUUCAUGUCUUGUGCCAAUCAUAUGUCUCGUACUGCGGUCCUGCAUGAGAAAAGAGUCAUAAAAAAAAGUUAUGCCACAAUGUAAGGCACACGUCAAACGACUAACAGAUGCUAGAUUGAAAAGAGAACCAGGGACAUAAAGAACAGAGUCUAGAGGGACAGAAGAGAGCGGUUUGGCUUUUUCAACCCCUUUUGGUUUUGUUUGGAUCCCAUUGGCUAAAGUAAUAGUAGGAAGAGAUUGUGAAUAAACAAUAUCAAACAUAAGUGAUUUGUUACCAGAAAUAUGAUCAGAAGCGCCUGAGUCCAUAACCCAUGAUCCAAGAGUACUAGACUGUGAAACACAAGCAAAAGAAUUACCCACAACAUGAACAUUAGGCUGAGUAACCAAGGCUACUUGUAGAGACGUUUGCUUACUUGCUCUGAUACCAUGUUAAAUUAGAUCUUUGGCCUAACUCACACCCCAAAAGCUAGAUCAAAGGGAGGAAGAUUGCCCAAGCCCUAUAAGGAGUCCACCCAUCUAAUUAACCACCAAUGUGGGACUUUUUGUUAUUCCUUAACACCCCAUCUCAUGCCUAGUGCUUAGCAUCUGGUGUGUGGGCAAUUUGAUUUUUGGGGGCCCAAACAUUGGAUAAGCCGGGCCCUGCUCUGAUACCAUGUGAGAAAUAUAGGAGAAAAUAUAUUAUUGAAUUGUGUAUCUAUAUUAUUACAUUGAGACCCUAUUUAUAGACACUACAUUGGAAUCCUUUUUUCCAACUAGGAUUCCUAUUCUUAUUCCUAUUUUUAUUAGGAUUGUAUAUGCUUAUUUCUAUUCUAACAAUUACUUUAUAAAGUUAUUUAAUGAUUAAAAAAUAACAUUAAAUAAAAGUAAUACUCUUGUUUUGAUUUUGUUAAAAUAAAUAAAUAAAAUAAUAAAAUGAAAAAAAUUGUAAAUGAACAUCUUCUUCAAGUAUGUAACAUAGGCGUACUAUAUAGUUUGAGUGGGUCCCAAAAAGCUACAUGAAAAUUGAGACACGAAAUAGUCACUUAUCUUUAUGUUAAGAUUCAAAGUUUUCACAUAAGGCACUAAUAGUCUCUCAUGUUAGCAGUAUUGGUGCACUUUUGAUCGUCCCUUGAAUUUUUGCCUAUUUUUAACGUUGAUUUUUCCACAAUUUUAUGUAUGGAAUGCUCAAUCAUCUUUUUAUAUAUCUAGUAGAAAUAAUAAUUUCAUGUAGAGAAGGUGAGAAGAACAUCUUGACAUAUGACAUCGCAAGAAAAGAAAAAAUUGUACGACAUAAUUAAUCUCUCGAUUUUAGCUACAAUAAUAUUUCUACUAAACAAAACAUGAUGUUCUUAUUCUUACUUUCUCCCAAAAUGGAGUUACUAUUUAUAUUAAAUAUAUAAAAAGACGAUUAAACAUUUCAUAUAUAAAUUGUGGAUAAAAUCAAUAUUAAAAAAUAGGCAAAAAUUUGCAAACAUGUGAGACUAUUAGUGUUCCAUGUGAAAAUUCAAGGAUGACUUUGAGUCUUAACUCAGAGACAAGGGACUAUUUUGGGUCUUUUCUCAAAUGAAAUAGUUAACAACUUUGAGGCUCUUUUAAUGAGUUAAAUUAGGUUGUACUAUCCUUUAAUCACCAUAUCUAUCAUAUAUACCAAAGACAUCAACACAUACAAACAGUAAAUACCAAAAUACCCUUUAAGUAGUUGGUUAAAUUUAGGAUUUUUAAGGCAAUCAAAAUAGAAGUACAUUUUUAAAAGCAAAAAUGUACAGACACAAUAAUGCUCACACUAAAAGAAACCCCUAAAAUACUCCCUAACCCAAGAUACACAAGCAACAGAAAACUCUCCUUUCUGUAUAGGUAGUAAAGUAAAGUAAAAGUAAACUAAUAUAUGCAAAGUAUCUAAUAUGAUUUAAUUUUUUUUAUGAGGCAUAACAAACAUUUGAGAUGAGGUAUAAGACUUACUAUAUGCCCAACACUUUGAAGUAGAAUUCAAGACUGGCUUUAGAAUCCUCUAUUGAAGAGAAUGAAUUUCCCAUGAGACAUAUAUAAUAGGGGUUCAAUCCAAGCAAGAACUUAAAAGGAAAAUGAAAGAGGAGCCAAAUCUUUAUAUAUAUAGAUUGGCAAUUCACCUCCAGGAGGUGCAACAUGUGAGUAAUAAUAUAUAUUUUCAUUUUACAAGUUUUUCUUUUCCUAGAAAAAGAUUUCAGGCUAACAUUGGUGUUUUCAGAAUUUGAGGUUAAGUUUAGAAAAUUCCAACCUUCUAUAUCUUGAUGCAGGACUUCGAACCAUCUUUCAAUAUAUCUACCUUGUAUUUAUGGACUCAUUAACACCCAUAGGAAAACCAAAUAAGAAUAAAAAUAUUGAUGGUGUAUCUAGAUUUUGCUUAAAUUGCAAUUGAGCCACGUAAUUAAGUAAAAGCUAGAAUCAUAUAUAUAUAGUUGCUAUCUAUGUUUCUCGGACUCUUCAAAAAUGUCAUUAAGUGUGUGUCAAAUCCUUCAAAAGUAGUGCAUUUCUGAUGGACCAGACACGAAUGAAGCCAUAUUUUUGAAGAGUCUAAGCAACUUGGGUUGUUAACUGUUCAAUGAGUUAUUAGUGCCGAACAUCAUAUGUAAAACGAAAUGUGACAGCUCAAGUAAGAUGUUCUAUUCAUUGCAGCUUAACAACAAAGCUAAUUACAGACAAGAGGGAGCUGCUUGGAUGGUAAGCAGUAAGCACCCCUCACUUCCAACUCUAAGACUGUGAGUUCGAGCCAUCUAACAGACAAAGAUCCCAAAUUAACUUCAAGUUGUUUUUCAGCAUUUCAAACACCAGAUCUUCAUCCAUUGUUUGCUUCUGUAUUUUUGAUAAGAGAAUGAAAAUCAAAUCAAGUCAAGUUGAUGCUUAAACUAAGAAUACUAUGCUAUGAUUUCGACCAACACCAACCAACGUUGAUGUAUCAUGCAGAGACAUCCAAAAUUGGAAAACAUAAAAUAAAAUGAGAAACGUAAUUGCUUGUCAUCAGGAGAAGAGAACCUACAUGUAACUCUGAUAUAAUUCCAGGCAAUUUCAGGAAAAUCUCAUGUGUAACCUCACCAGUUGAAGAUUUGAAUUUAGAUCGAUUUGCAUGUCGAAACUUAAACCUAAUUGAUGAAUUCAUAUAUGAUUUUGCAGUUGUGUGACCAAUAGCAUUAACAACAUAUCGACCCCCUGAAGAAUGGCGCUUGUUUAAAGGCCAUCUUAAACCACCCGGUAAUUCUGAGUCCAAAAUGGCAGAACCAAUAAGAUCCUUAAUUUCAUUAAUCUCCUCAUCCUGAAAAAUGUGAAGAAUUAUCUAAAGCACAACACUCAUAGAAAGACGUACUACUACUGCAAACACUCAAAUAAGAGAAUUACAUACGACAGUUGUGAGAAGCUUGAAAUCAAGAGUUUAAUCCUUAUAUAUAAAGGAACAAAAAGAGCUUUUGAUAUAUAAUAUUCAUCAACAUCUUGAGCCUAUAACCAACAUCUCUGUAUUUGAAUGGAGUAAAUAACUUACAUAUAAAGCCAUCUUGAUUUUCUUGGUAUAUACAAACAAUCUGAGGUCUGAGCUCUUUCCAAGAAUGCUCAUGUCUGCAACCAUGUGGCGUACUCGGUUCAACUCAAUCUUAAAAAUAAGGAGACAGGUAUAAAUAUGUUAAUGACAGUAACGCGAAAUUGAAGGCAUAAAAGGUUUAGAGUACUAACCUUAUAGAGCUGAAUCUUAUUAUGAUCUUUUGCCACAGUACAUUUGCAGGAAACAGUUGAUUCUGUCCUCAAGUUAUCGGAAAGCUACAAAACACACGGAUAAAGAAAGAAUACAGUAGGACGAAGACAUUUUUUAGAAGCUUGAAAGUAGCAUAUACCUUAACAUAGUACAGCUCUUUCCCUUGCACAUAUUCUAGUCCGAGAUUCUCCACUACUCGAUUUUCUACAUAGUCCAUAUAUGAAGGAGGAACAUCCGUAUGGAAAGAUCUUUUCAUUUUUCUCAAAGCAGUUUCAGUCAAUGAGUUUAGUUUUAGGCUAUCUUUACCAAUUGAAGAAGUCCUGCAUCACAAAGAACAUGACAAGUAUUUUGAAACACGCAUUUGUAUAUGAAUAACCUAACAAAAUAAUGCUUCAAACACAACAAAGUAAGCAGCAUGAUACAUAUGAUAUAUGAGGUGUUUGAUACAUGCUAUAAAAGAUACGAAGUGAUGUUUCGCAGAACAGAGAAGUGUUAAAAUUUCUAAUUAACAUGACGAAAAAAGCAUAACAUGUGAACUAAAUGAAGAAGAUCGACUGACCCAUAAAAGAGAACUUUUCCAAAACGAGCAACUAUAGACGGCUUUACUUGUGCCAUAUCAGCUUCCUCCAUCUCACGCUUCAUAUGUUGAAAUGACAAAAGCAAAUCCUUCUUCACAUUUGCAGCAAUCAAAAUCCAUGGUGUUUCUAUAAGCUCAUUCUUUAUUCCUUCACUGCAACCUGGAAAAGUAUAGAUAUAUAGCUUAAUGAGCAUCACUAAAGUAGAGUCGAACCCAUGAUUUGAAGAUGACGGGUGCACCGCCAACAUCGGCUAAUGCACAUUAGUGUAUGAUAAUUUUACUAAACAUAAAAAUAUAAAACUAAUAUAUUAAAAUUAGUUGUAGGUCACGUUGAAGAAGUUGAAAACACUAUGCAGGUACAAAACUAGAAACAUUUGACAAAAAACAUUAUAAGAACCAAAUUGAGUAAAUAUCUUUAAAUGUCAGAAAUUAUAUAGCAACUUGUUUUGUAUCAAUAAAGUUAUUCAAUUUAAUAUUUUUAUCAUAUAAAAUGACUCAACCAAAUUUGUCAUAAAAAACAGGAUGAUCAGGUUAAAUUAAACCAUAUAUUAACUCCUAUUCUUUUUACAGUAUUUAACUACUCUACUCUUGUUGAAUAAAAAGUAGUACCUUGAUGAGUUGGAACCAAAGAGAGAGGCUGUAGGCCUGCUUUUGUCUCAAAGGAUUCUAGUGAAAGAGGUUGGAAACUGACAAGAGAUGAAAAUCUCAAUUCAUCAGCUAAGCCAACAGAGAACCAUUUUAAGAUAGUAUGAUCAGUGUAACCGAUACUCCGAGUGCGAGAUUUGUUAUCCUUUCUCUUGUUGAAAGCAGAUCUGAUGAGAGACUCCGGUGCUGGAGUUGGUUCAAGCGAUGGCGAGCCCUUUGUUUGCCUCUUGUGUGGCGGAAUGUAAGACAUUAUAUUUGAUCACUUGCUGCUAGCUAGGUGUUUGUGUUACUCACUUGUCUAGAAGAAGAAAUGUAAUUGAACUUAUACCGUAAAUUCAGGGCCGCCUCUAUAUGGAAAACGAAAUAAGGCAUCUGUCAAUAGUGUAAUUAUUUAUGAUAAAGAAAGACUAACUUUUUAAAAAAAAAAUUGUACUAUAUUGUUCUCUUUUAAACCUUUUUCAAAUAGUAAAAAGGAAAAAAUAUUAAAUAUGUCAUCAUAUUUUGAGAAAAGACUCAUCUAUGUCAUAUUUAAGUCUUUCUCAUUUAAUUAAUGACGUGAUUGAAUCAUAAUUGACUACGUAUAGAAAAUGAUUUUGCAAAAUUGAAAUUAUUUUCCAUUAACAAAUAAUGACAUGAAUGAGUCUUUUCUCAAACAAAAAUGAUAUAUAUGAACCAAACUUUUAAUUAGCUUUAAGUCUUGUACCAUACCUACGCUUCGUCCACUGCCUUGAACUUCUUUCAUGGAAACUUCUUCUCCUAAUCAUACUUGGACUCGGUCGGGUAGAAACAUGCUGAAGACCAUGAUAUGAUUCUGUGCGUCUAAUUGAUUUUUGGAGAAUCGGACAACACUAGUGACGGAGCCAGAAUUUUUGAUAAGGGGUUCAAAAUCUGAAAAAAUAGACACACGAAGUAGUCGAAGGAGGUUCGACAUUUACUAUAUAUACCUAAAAAAUUAUUUUAACCAUGUAAAUAUAAUAUAAUUUUCCGCGAAAGGGGAUUCGAAUGAACCCUUAAUGAUAAGGUGGCUCCGCCACUGGACAACACUAAUACUAAAAAAUAAAGAAAAUAGAGUUGCUCUGUUUUGUGAUGAUGGAACAUUUUGGCGCUAUAAAUAAUAGUCAUGUUAAAGUGCUUGCUAGAAUACUUUCAUUAUAUUAGUGAGCAUUAUGACGACUUUUGAGCUUCUACUAAUUACACUUCAUUGAAUUACGACUACUAAAUUUCAUUUCAUUUUAACAUCCAACAUAAUGGUGUAUCAAACAUAAUAUUUGGAAAAUAUAUUUCAUAUUUUUAAUAAAUUUGAUAUAUACCCAUAAGUUUUAAAAACUAUCAAUAAAUUAUAAGUUUGUAUUACAUAGCAAGAUAGAAACGUCGACGUAACAAGAUUCAUGACUUCCGCAACAAGUCAAUUGGAUCUUCGUUGCAACAAAUAACAAGUAGCGUCUAUGACACUAGAACAAUGUGGUAGUUCGGAGUGAGUGCAACAAGCAUCAUUUCAUACAUCGUGAAGUAGACAAAGCACAUGACUUUAUUACCCUGAACCGAUUAUUCGUCAUUUUCAUCAACAACCAUAUCAUCACUUUCAUAUUCACUGAAUAUUUCAUCGCUGCUUUGGUGUUCACAUAAAAAACUAUGUAAUGCAACGGAAACAACUACUAUAGAGGGUGUUUUUGUAAAAGAUAAAAGUUUGACGUAGAAUUUGAAUUGUUUAAAGCUCCCAAAUAAUGAGAUUUGACCCAAAUACUAGUUUAUUCCUAGUAUUUGGGAAUUUGAGUUAUUUGCCAAAUAAUGGUAUAUUGUAUGGACAAACACUAUUUGUCAAAUUUUUUUCCAAAUUUUACUUGGAAAAUCUAUGGUCAAACGGGUCCUAAAUAAAUGGAUGAUGAUGUUUGUUGAUCGAAGUAACCGGAAAUAGAGAUGGACGGAGGUCACUUUUAUAACUCCGAUGUCCGAUUUUUUUGUUCUUCUUGCAAAUUUGAUUAGGAGAUUCAAUUUUUUUUAGAAAGAUUGAAAAAUAAAAAGGAAGAACCAAAACAAACAGAGUUAUAAAAAUGCUUAAUGGGUCGAAGAAGAACACCAUUAAUAUAGCUUACGUGGGUGGGGUGGGGUUGCAUUCUUUUUGGGUAUUAACAUAUUAUUUUGAAAAAAAAAUAUUUUUAAUUAUUUUAAUUUAUGCAUGUCAAGUGUCAUUAGAAGAAAAAAAAGGUACAAGUUUAUUUUACCAAAAAAAAUAUUUUAAAAAAUUUGGGACCUAUUCACGCGCUGCUAUGCAGUAGGAUGCACUUAUUUUGCCACAUCAGCAUUUUGUGCUUAAUAGACACAUGUUUUGAACAAUUUAGGUGUCCAAUAAGUACAAACCCUAGUUAAGGUGUUUAACUGAAUUUGUGGACAACUUUAGGGGGACACAAAUGACUCAAGUCAAUAUUUCGAUCGGACAAUUCAAAUGAUUUUCGAUAUUCACGUAGGCUGCAUCCAACUGAAAUAUAUGUUGGGUAUUUGCAAGUUUCUUACCAUAAAUGAGUUUCUAUUUUCCUAAAAGGAAAGCAUACAGUCUCCAUAUUUGACUAAUCCUUUUUUUGUAGGAAAUUUUUUUAGGAUUCCAUAAAUAAAUGUUUGUUCCUUUUAACGUACCAGCAUUCACAAUGUAGUCCUAGGGGCUAGAGAGUUGUAUAGGGGGAAACAGUUAGAUACAAGUGUUAUGUUAACUCGUGUGUAAAUCUCUUUGUAUUUCGAGUAAAUUGUGUGAGGUUAUUCUUCUCUAUAUUUGUUCUCUCUUUUAUAUAGUGAAUUGCUAAUCUCCUUUGUGGAUGUAGUUCAGUUGACCAAAUCAUGUUAAAUCAUUGUGUCUUUUGAUAUCUUUCUCGUUUGUCUUUUUACUCAUAAUCUUUCGAGGUUUGUUUUGCUAGCUUCCACAUGACACUUAAUUAUUUUGGUUCUAACAAUAUGAUCCCGAGAUCCCAAUCCGACCCCAACUCAAGACCCGACCUGAACGAAAAUUAGAAAAUAUUCCUUCAUAGAAAACACGCCCUAACUGUUUACUACUCAUAAUACUUGAGUACUUGACUAUUGCAUUUUUCUAGAGAUUUUCGAUCAAAAUAAGUCAUUAUUAAUAUCAAUUCACCAAAAUAAUAUGUUUUUUUUUUAAAGUUUACAAAACUAGUAUAAAUGUAUUUCUCAGUAAUGUUUUAGGUUAUAUUUUAUUCAAAAAAAUUCAAUGAUAAAAAGACAAAAAUUUGACAGAGUAAACAAACAUAAAAUGUUACUGUCAGUCAGGGGCGGACCUAGGUUCACUACUAAAAAACUGCCAAAAAAGACGGACUGCGUCGCUUUUUUGGUCAAAAUCGAUGGAAAAGCGACGCAGUCACUUCCGUCGCUUUUUAGCUCGACGCUUUUCAAAAAGCGAUGGACUACGUCUCUUUUUGACUAUUUUUUUUAACAAAAGCGAUGGACUCCGUCGCUCUAUUUUAAUUUUCAUUUUUUUUAAUUUCCAAAAGGCGACGCAGUCCGACGCUUUUGUGGAAAUUUUAUUUUUGAAAAUCCCAGAAAAGCGACGGACAAAUGGACGUUGUUCGUCCCUUUUCUGGAAAUAAUUUUUUUGGAAAAUCCAGAAAAGCGACGGACCAAACCACGCUGUCCGUCGCUUUUUCUGCAAUUUUUUUGACAGUAGAAACUGACAGUUUCUGUUGCCCACCUGCAAAUUCAAUUCAAUUCAAUUCUACACUAUUCAGCUCAAUCAAUCACACACAAUUAUAAACAAUCUACACAAAACAUAAAACAACAAACUUAAAAUAAUAUUCAAAAGUAUCUAAAUCACAAUUUAAAUACUUAUAAAGUCUUUCAAAAUUCGUUUCAAAAUUUCAUAAAUGUCCAGAGAUCUAAACUAGGGAGUGGGAUCUACAUAAUCAUCCUCAUCAUCACUGUCGUCGUCGGUGUCCUCGAGAGCCGAAGUAGUAGGUCGAUGAGUGAGGUUCAUCACUUGUUCUUUGAUUUGUUGAAUGGUAUCGCUCAUACUUCGUUGUUCAGCUAGUCUUCUCUGCUUUGACUCUGCCAAUGCCGAUGUAAGUUGUGCUAUUUGAGCCGACAUAGCAGCAAUCUGAACACCGUCAAGUGCCUCGGCUUGACGUGACGAUCCAAUACCUUCUAAGCUUGACUGAAGUCGUCUUACAUCGUUUCGAGAGCCUAGACCAUAACAUCUACCCUUGUGUGUCCCUCCUACCACUUUUUCUUUCCAAAUCUGGGUGGACAGUUCAGGUAUUAUUUCGACCAAACAUCUAGAUUCUCAGUGACAUACUGAUGAAACUCAUUCUGCAUAUUAAAUAUAAAAAAUGACAUCAAUAUAUAUACAUAUCAUAAAUAUAUUCACUAUUAAUAUAUAUUAUUCAUAUCAAUUAAAUAACUUACAAAAGUUCGUUCGACCCUUUCCUCCACCUACACAUCUGGAUCCGACUCAUUUUCUUUCUUUCUGACAUGAGUCUUCUUGAAAACCUCCGGUUCAAUGGGAGUGCAUCCCAAUUCUUUUUCCUAUAAAUAAAAACUGAAAUUCAUAACGAUAUAUAUGAAUCAACUAAUUAUUUAUUUAAAAAUUUGAAUUAGAACUUACCAUCUCUCUUGUAAUUGUUCCAACGGUCUUUGCACCUUCGAUGUGCAACGAGUCACCCUUAAGACUGCCUCUAGCCUUUUUGGCUUGUUCUGAUAUUGCAUUAAACUUGUCUAUGUUCCAAUACAGACCCAAUUCAUCAAAAACAUGAGGCAGCAUCCAAUCCGGACGUUCAGCACUAUCCUAAACUUUCUUGGGCCAGCUAGACAGUCUGGCGGAUGCCCUCUUCUCAAAUGUGGUCGUAAUGACCAAAUUGUACCUUGGCUCCCAAGUACACAUAGUCUGAAAAAAAUUGAAUAAUGUUAAUUAGAUCGAUAGUAAAAAAAGUAAAGUAUACUAAACUUAACUAAAAAAUAUAUACCUUAAAUUCAUUAAACAUCGCUUGGCGUAUUCUGUUUGGAAUCUCGCUCCAAGAGUGAUAAGCCUGUGUAUAAAGUCUUCUAACACAAUCUUUUAAAGCCCGGGCAGCAUCCUUUGCAAGAUGCCACCUGCAAAACACAUAAUAAAUAUGUUAGUUCAUGAAUAAUAUAUUAAAGUAUAAGAAAUAAAUAAAAUAAACUAACAAAUAGAUAACAAAACAAACUUACGAUGAUCCAUCUGGCUCAAUCAUGACUCUACCAAGUCUAUCCUUCUAGCUAGGAGAUAGAGCAGACAUCUCAUCAUCUGGUGUAGCACUAGGUCUAGCUGUAAAUAAGGGUGAUACAUCAGGAUGCACAAAACACUGAGUCAAUGGAGGCAUACCAGCCAUAACAUCUGACUGCUCGCUACUAGAAUCUCCAAUCCUCAUGGUAGAUAACUGAGGAGAUGUACCUGUAGGAGAUGGAGUACCUGCCGAUAAGGGUCGUGCUCGACGAAUAGCCUAUAAAGGUAGGUCCUCGUAGCAUCGUGCAUGCAAUGCCUAUGAAGUAGAGGAAGCACCGACUGGUCGACGGUAAUUAGGAUAAUAUUGCCGAGGAUCUGCCGUACCAAAUGGAACAGCAAAUAAAUGAGUAUCAUGGCUGAUGCGCUCUGGCGCAGAAGAAAUAGAUCUUGCAAUAUCCUCAGGAUCUAUGGGUCUCCUAAACUUCUUCUUUUUAGCCUGUUUAGUCUGGCUAACUCCAAGAUGCUCGUGAUGUCUAUCACCGUCACCGUCGGAAGACAUCUGUAUUCAAAUUUACAUGUAUAAUAUAUAUAAAAAUCAUAAUUUAAAUAAAAUUAGAAAAAUACACUAACUUACAUAUAUAUACUAGCUAUCUUUCAUUCUAUAAUAUUCCUCCUCGCUUGUUUCAAUUCCAUCAUUCUCCCAUUCUUCCUCCUCAGUUGUUUCAUUUUCAUUAUCGUCCCAUUCUUCGUUAUCAAAUGAUUCAUUUUCCUCAUUCUCAGAUAUUUCUUCCUCAACAUUUAGUAUCUCUUCAUCAGAUACUUCUUCUAAUAUGUGUUGAGGAUAUUGUAGUGUGGUUUCCAAUUCAACAUCAACUUGUUGUUGAACAAUUGCAACAUCAUUUUGAUACGCCACAUCUAAGACAUUGUCAAUUUCAAUUCUUCCCACAGGCUUACUUUUUAUAACAACCCACCAAUCAGCUUUGUCUCUACACAAUGGAUAUGGANNNNNNNNNNNNNNNNNNNNNNNNNNNNNNNNNNNNNNNNNNNNNNNNNNNNNNNNNNNNNNNNNNNNNNNNNNNNNNNNNNNNNNNNNNNNNNNNNNNNNNNNNNNNNNNNNNNNNNNNNNNNNNNNNNNNNNNNNNNNNNNNNNNNNNNNNNNNNNNNNNNNNNNNNNNNNNNNNNNNNNNNNNNNNNNNNNNNNNNNNNNNNNNNNNNNNNNNNNNNNNNNNNNNNNNNNNNNNNNNNNNNNNNNNNNNNNNNNNNNNNNNNNNNNNNNNNNNNNNNNNNNNNNNNNNNNNNNNNNNNNNNNNNNNNNNNNNNNNNNNNNNNNNNNNNNNNNNNNNNNNNNNNNNNNNNNNNNNNNNNNNNNNNNNNNNNNNNNNNNNNNNNNNNNNNNNNNNNNNNNNNNNNNNNNNNNNNNNNNNNNNNNNNNNNNNNNNNNNNNNNNNNNNNNNNNNNNNNNNNNNNNNNNNNNNNNNNNNNNNNNNNNNNNNNNNNNNNNNNNNNNNNNNNNNNNNNNNNNNNNNNNNNNNNNNNNNNNNNNNNNNNNNNNNNNNNNNNNNNNNNNNNNNNNNNNNNNNNNNNNNNNNNNNNNNNNNNNNNNNNNNNNNNNNNNNNNNNNNNNNNNNNNNNNNNNNNNNNNNNNNNNNNNNNNNNNNNNNNNNNNNNNNNNNNNNNNNNNNNNNNNNNNNNNNNNNNNNNNNNNNNNNNNNNNNNNNNNNNNNNNNNNNNNNNNNNNNNNNNNNNNNNNNNNNNNNNNNNNNNNNNNNNNNNNNNNNNNNNNNNNNNNNNNNNNNNNNNNNNNNNNNNNNNNNNNNNNNNNNNNNNNNNNNNNNNNNNNNNNNNNNNNNNNNNNNNNNNNNNNNNNNNNNNNNNNNNNNNNNNNNNNNNNNNNNNNNNNNNNNNNNNNNNNNNNNNNNNNNNNNNNNNNNNNNNNNNNNNNNNNNNNNNNNNNNNNNNNNNNNNNNNNNNNNNNNNNNNNNNNNNNNNNNNNNNNNNNNNNNNNNNNNNNNNNNNNNNNNNNNNNNNNNNNNNNNNNNNNNNNNNNNNNNNNNNNNNNNNNNNNNNNNNNNNNNNNNNNNNNNNNNNNNNNNNNNNNNNNNNNNNNNNNNNNNNNNNNNNNNNNNNNNNNNNNNNNNNNNNNNNNNNNNNNNNNNNNNNNNNNNNNNNNNNNNNNNNNNNNNNNNNNNNNNNNNNNNNNNNNNNNNNNNNNNNNNNNNNNNNNNNNNNNNNNNNNNNNNNNNNNNNNNNNNNNNNNNNNNNNNNNNNNNNNNNNNNNNNNNNNNNNNNNNNNNNNNNNNNNNNNNNNNNNNNNNNNNNNNNNNNNNNNNNNNNNNNNNNNNNNNNNNNNNNNNNNNNNNNNNNNNNNNNNNNNNNNNNNNNNNNNNNNNNNNNNNNNNNNNNNNNNNNNNNNNNNNNNNNNNNNNNNNNNNNNNNNNNNNNNNNNNNNNNNNNNNNNNNNNNNNNNNNNNNNNNNNNNNNNNNNNNNNNNNNNNNNNNNNNNNNNNNNNNNNNNNNNNNNNNNNNNNNNNNNNNNNNNNNNNNNNNNNNNNNNNNNNNNNNNNNNNNNNNNNNNNNNNNNNNNNNNNNNNNNNNNNNNNNNNNNNNNNNNNNNNNNNNNNNNNNNNNNNNNNNNNNNNNNNNNNNNNNNNNNNNNNNNNNNNNNNNNNNNNNNNNNNNNNNNNNNNNNNNNNNNNNNNNNNNNNNNNNNNNNNNNNNNNNNNNNNNNNNNNNNNNNNNGCCUGAUGACAUAUGUAUGCAAAUUUACAUUUAUAAUAUAUAUAAAAAUCAUAAAUUAAAUAAAAUUAGUAAAAUACACUUACAUAUGUACUAGCUAGCUUUCAUUCUACACUAUUUCUCUUCGCUUGUUUCAAUUCCAUCAUUCUCCCAUUCUUCUUCUUCAGUUGUUUCAUUUUCAUUAUCGUCCCAUUCUUUGUCAUCAAAUGAUUCAUUUUCCUCAUUCUCGGAUAUUUCUUCCUCAACAUUCAUUAUCUCAUCAUCAGAUACUUCUUCUAAUAUGUGUUGAGGAUGUUGUAGUGUGGUUUCCAAUUCAACAUCAACUUGUUGUUGAACAAUUGCAACAUCAUUUUGAUACGCCAUAUCUAAGAUAUUGUCAAUUUCAAUUCUUCCCACUUGCUUACUUUUUAUAACAAUCCACCAAUCAGCUUUGUCUCUACGCAAUGGAUAUGGAGCGUAAUACACUUGUUUAGCAUUUUGUGCAAUGAUAAAAAGAUCAUAACUUCUGUAUUUCCUGGUGUGCUUAACUUCAAUUAUAUUAUGUUGAUGGUCCACCUUUGUGCCUCUAUGUGAUGGGUCAAACCACUCACACCGAAACAAUACAAUCUUCUUCUUAGGCCAACCUGAAUACCUCACUUCAAUAAGUUCAUGAAUGACACCAUAAAAUUCAAUAGUUUGGCCAGUACCAUCAACCUCACCUUGUAUGUAGACACCACUAUUAUUUGUUUUCUUGUUCCUAGAAACUUCUUCAAAUUUUGAAACUUAAAAACCGUUGACACAAUACUUAUUCAUUGUUAGUACUUGAGAUUCAGGUCCAAGUGCUACUUCUUUCACUAAUUGCAAAAUGUUGGACACUUGAGUAUUCAUCGUAAACCUAUGUGAUUGAUAUUUCAAGUAAUAUAAUUUAGUAUAACAUGAAUAUAUUAUAUAUUAAAUACUUAGUGAUUGCACACUUACAUAGUUCCUCAGCCAUUUGGAAAAUUUUGUAUAUAUGGCUUCAUUACCCUAUGUGUUUACGAACAAGCUGAUCAUUUUACAUUCAAAUAUUUCGUUAGUUAAUGAACACUUAUUAGUAUGUAAUUUGAUAACAUAUUUUUUAACACUUACUUGACAUAUGGUUGAAUCUCUGGACAAUUAAGCAAAAUAUGUGUCUUAGCUGAUUGCAUUUCCAUAUCAGUGAAGCCUCGCUUUCCACGCUUUUUAGAUCCUCGAUCAUUUUGAUUAAAAAUUGAUAUUGGUGGAAAUAAAGGAUCAAUAUCGCCUUCAUCAUUGCGAUUGGGCCUAUUUAUCCUACAUGACACAUCAUCACAAAAGAAAUAGGAAUAAAAAUCACCAGUUUCUCUCCCAAUAUGACCUUGAACAAAUGAUCCUUCGAUCCUUCCCCGUUGCUUAAUCGUUUGCUUCGAACUACCAAUUUUUCUGCAUGCAUAUAUGUAUAUAUAUGUUAAUAUAUAAAAGACUUGGCGAAUAUAUAUAACUUAGUGAAUAUUUCAAAUGGAUACAUCCAUCUUGUUUGAACCGGACCUCCGAGGCGGGCCUCUUGUACAAGGUGAAUUGGAAGAUGCUCCAUCACAUCAAAGAAACCACAUGGAAAUAUCUUCUCCAACUUAGUAGUAGUAACAAGAAUAUUUUCCUCCAUCCUGUCUAAACUACUCUCCAACAACUUUCCAGAACACAAAUCUUUUUUAAAAAAAGACUUAUCUCUGUGACUGGUUUCCAUAUCAUUUCGGGUAGAUGGCUAAAAGCGAUAGGAAUUAAAGUUUUCAUGAACACAUGACAAUCAUGACUUUUCAUACCUAUCAAUUUUCCUUCAUUCAUAUCUGUCCGCUUUCCUAAAUUUGAAGCAUAGCCUCUUAUAACGAGAAUGUCCACAAAAUUUACAAUUUUCUAAUUCACUAUCAGUCUUGUAAAACAACAUGCAACCAUUAACACAAUAAUGAAUUCUAUCAUACGUCAAUCCUAACUUCGAAACCAAACACUUUGCCUGAUAGAAGUUCUUAGGUAUGUUAAAUUCUGAAUUAACUAGUUUGUGAUGUGUUGCAAUUUGAAAUAACUAUGAAGAAGUUUAUAAUUGGAAUUAGUCAUUUUUUUGAAGUCAGAAUCUGGAAAUUUAGUUAAGUAUGGGAAAAAAAUGAGUUUUUUUUGUCAACUUCAAACAGUCACAACUCCUAGCUCAGAAUGAUUUAGGCGAAUUUCCAGUUAUGUAUGGAAAUCUUUUGGAAUGAUCUUUCCAACGCUGCCUAGUUUGCUCGAUUCCGAGUUCGUAUGAGUGAGUUAUGCCCUUUGAAAGUUGGGCUAUUGGCACAGCCGCACAGGCCAGUUUAGUCCGAAUUUGUAAGGGUAAAUUGGUCUUUUCCCUAACCAUUUAUUUUGGUUAUUUUGAGGUGUUAGACUGAUUUUAAAUCAGUUUUCCCUUUUUAAAAGUGAGAGUUAGGGUUUUGGAGAGAAGAGAGAAAGAAGAGGAGAAAGAGAAGAAGAAGCAAGGAUUUCAUCAAGAUCGUCGUGGUUUUCGUCAGGGGUGAUCCCUAUUAAGGUAUGUUAGAUCAUAGUGUUGGGUUGGUUCUUUCCCCCACACGCCAAACUCGUUUUUUAUUCAGAGAAAAGAUUGGUUGUGGUUGUUGAAUUCUUGUGGUUGUGCUGUUGAAGUUUCUUGUUGGUUUAGUACAUGUUUCCGGUUGUGAUUUUAAGUUGAAUCUAUUGUAUAUUAAGGGUCUUUAUGAUUCUAAGUGUUUGCUACUGGAACCUUUGAGGUUGAGAGGGUUUAGAGUUGGAAAGAAACAAGGGGAAAAAUUCAGAUUUUUAGGGGAAAAGGGCUGGGGUGUUGCGCCAGCCAGCGCACCCCAAAAAGGGACGCUGAACUUUCCCCUUGGGGAAGAGCGCCUGGCAGAACGCCUAGCAGGCCCCUCUGAAGUUUGAGGGCUAGCGCCCCGCGCCUCUUAGAGCGCCAAGGACGCCAAUCCUUCCCUUUACCUUUCAUUUCCCACUUUUUCAUACAUGUUCCUUGGUAAAGUGCCUAUGUUUUAUAGUUGUUUCCAACACUUUAAGGUACAUCUUAACAUCCGAAACUCAUCCAUAAACAUGUGAUCAUACACCUUGAAUUCAUAAUCCAAUUUGAGGAAAGUUAGGAUCCAAGUCAAGUGAAGUUAGAGUCAAGUUUAAAAGUUAAGAAGCAAGUCUUUAAAGUUUUGUUUCAAGAGUCUUUAUUGAACAUUUUACCUUCACUUUAAGGCUCCAGUUUCAAGUUGAGUAAAGAGUAUAGAGUUGAGUUCAUUUCUCAAAAGUUAUUAGUUCCCAAAGAAGUUUAUAAAUGUUUUCACAUUUNNNNNNNNNNNNNNNNNNNNNNNNNNNNNNNNNNNNNNNNNNNNNNNNNNNNNNNNNNNNNNNNNNNNNNNNNNNNNNNNNNNNNNNNNNNNNNNNNNNNNNNNNNNNNNNNNNNNNNNNNNNNNNNNNNNNNNNNNNNNNNNNNNNNNNNNNNNNNNNNNNNNNNNNNNNNNNNNNNNNNNNNNNNNNNNNNNNNNNNNNNNNNNNNNNNNNNNNNNNNNNNNNNNNNNNNNNNNNNNNNNNNNNNNNNNNNNNNNNNNNNNNNNNNNNNNNNNNNNNNNNNNNNNNNNNNNNNNNNNNNNNNNNNNNNNNNNNNNNNNNNNNNNNNNNNNNNNNNNNNNNNNNNNNNNNNNNNNNNNNNNNNNNNNNNNNNNNNNNNNNNNNNNNNNNNNNNNNNNNNNNNNNNNNNNNNNNNNNNNNNNNNNNNNNNNNNNNNNNNNNNNNNNNNNNNNNNNNNNNNNNNNNNNNNNNNNNNNNNNNNNNNNNNNNNNNNNNNNNNNNNNNNNNNNNNNNNNNNNNNNNNNNNNNNNNNNNNNNNNNNNNNNNNNNNNNNNNNNNNNNNNNNNNNNNNNNNNNNNNNNNNNNNNNNNNNNNNNNNNNNNNNNNNNNNNNNNNNNNNNNNNNNNNNNNNNNNNNNNNNNNNNNNNNNNNNNNNNNNNNNNNNNNNNNNNNNNNNNNNNNNNNNNNNNNNNNNNNNNNNNNNNNNNNNNNNNNNNNNNNNNNNNNNNNNNNNNNNNNNNNNNNNNNNNNNNNNNNNNNNNNNNNNNNNNNNNNNNNNNNNNNNNNNNNNNNNNNNNNNNNNNNNNNNNNNNNNNNNNNNNNNNNNNNNNNNNNNNNCGGUCCUGCCCAGGGUGUAGGCUCGGGGCGUGACAAACUUGGUAUCAGAGCCCAGAGUUCAAGAGUCCUAGGGAGUCUAUGAAGCCGUGUCUGUAGAGUCCUAGUUAUCGAUGUGAAGCGCGCCACAUUUAUAAUUGGGAGGCUACGAUACUUAGGAAGAUUUCUCAUUUCUUUCAUACUCAUUUUGUGCGUUAGAUUUCAUCUCUAAAAAAUUUCCCUCUAAUUCGUGCUUGUGCAUAUUUUCAGAUAGUCAUGGCUCCACGAAGAGUUAGCAGAGGACGUCUUCCUAGACGUUAUGUUGAUGAGCAAGAGUUACCUUAUGCCCCGGGAGUGCAACCACAAGGGGAAGUUUCUAAUGCCGAGUUCAGAGAGGCAAUUAGAAUUCUGAGUCAAGCUGUAACUAAUCAGAUUGGUCAGCAAAGGGGAGCUCGACAUGAAGGAGCAGCCACUUCAAAGAUUCUUGAGUUCUUGGGGAUGAAUCCUCCGAGUUUUAUGGGUUCAAGCACUACUGAGGAUCCAGAAAACUUCAUUGAGGAGUUGAAGAAGAUUUUUGAUGUGAUGCAUGUGGCAGAUAUUGAGCGGGUUGAACUAGCUACGUAUCAAUUGAAAGAUGUUGCUAGAACUUGGUUUGACCAGUGGAAGGGGGGCAGAGCUGAGAAUGCACCACCUGCGAUUUGGGCCUGUUUUGAGGAAGCUUUCUUGGGGCGUUUCUUUCCCCGAGAAUUGAGAGAGGCCAAGGUACAUGAGUUUCUUACACUUAAGCAGGAGUCGUUGAGUGUUCAUGAGUACAGUCUGAAGUUCACACAACUAUCCCGUUAUGCUCCGGAAAUGGAUGUGGACAUGAGGAAUAAAAUGAGUUUGUUUGUUGCUGGGCUGUUUCGGUUGUCAAGUAAAGAAGGUAGGGUUGCAAUGCUUAUUGGGGACAUGGACAUAUCAAGGUUGAUGGUUUAUGUACAGCAGGUUGAGAAAGAGAAGCUAAGGGACAGAGAAGAGUUCAGAAAUAAAAAGGCUAAGACCGGUAGUGAGUUCGGGCAGCAGAAAGGUAAUGCGAACCUUCCGUCCUUUCAACAAAGGCAAAAGGGACCUACUCCAUCAUCUUCUAGGGCACCUGCACCCAGAUACAGAGGUGAAUAUAAUGGCCAGAAUUCGAAGGACUUCAAGGCUAGACUAGCACAGUUUUCAGGUAGUGUGGCACAAGGAAGUAGUUUGUUUCCUGCAUGUGCUAGGUGUGGUAGAACCUACCCGGGUAAAUGUCGUGAUGGUCAGACAGGUUAUUUUAAGUGUGGACAAAAGGGUCACUUCAUGAAGGAGUGCCCUAAGAAUAAGCAAGGAAGUGGAAAUUUGGGCAAUAAGGCCCAAUCUUCAUCAAUUGCUCCCCUAGACAAGAUGGCACUCAGAGGAGCUACUUCUAGUACGAGUGGAGGAGCAAACCGCCUCUAUGCACUCACCAGUCGUCUUGAGCAAGAGAACUCUCCGAAUGUAGUCCCUGGUAUGAUCAAAGUCUUUGCUUUUAAUGUGUAUGCUUUGCUAGACCCAGGAGCAAGUUUAUCGUUUGUAACUCUUUACGUUGCAAAUAAGUUUGAUGUUCAUCCUGAAAGACUUUGUGAACCCUUUUGUGUUUCUACACCUGUUGGGGAGUCUAUUCUAGCAGAAAUAGUUUAUCGUGAUUGUCCUAUUUCCAUCAAUCACAAAAGCACCAUGGCUGAUUUGGUUGAGUUAGACAUGGUAGAUUUCGAUGUCAUUUUAGGUGUGGAUUGGCUUCAUGCCUGUUAUGCAUCAUUAGAUUACAGAACUCGAGUGGUCAAGUUUCAGUUUUCGAAUGAGCCAGUCAUAAAGUGGAGUAGCAGUUCAGUUGUGCCUAAGGGUCGUUUCAUUUCGUACCUUAAGGAGAGAAAGUUAGUUUUGAAGGGUUGUGUCUAUCACUUAGUCCGAGUUAAUGACUCUAGUGUUGAGAUACAUCCUAUUCAGUCAGUUCCUAUAGUAAGAGAGUUUCCAAAAGUUUUUCCUGAUGAUCUACCCUAAAUUCCUCCUGAGAGAGAAAUAGAGUUCGACAUAGUCCUCAUUCCAGGUACUCAUCCUAUCUCUAUUCCGCCAUAUAGAAUGGCACCAGCAGAGUUGAAAGAGUUGAAAGAGUAGUUGAAAGAUCUCCUAGAAAAGGGUUUCAUUCGACCGAGUGUCUCACCUUAGGGUGCUCCGGUCUUGUUUGUGAGAAAGAAAGAUGGUUCCCUCAGGAUAUGUAUAGACUACCACCAGUUGAACAAGGUUACCAUCAAGAAUAAGUAUCCUCUUCCACGGAUUGAUGAUCUUUUCGACCAGGUUCAAGGUGCUUCCUAUUUCUCAAAAAUUGACCUCAGAUCAGGUUAUCAUUAGUUAAGAGUAAGAGAAUGUGAUAUUCCAAAGAUAACUUUCAGAACCAGUUUUGGUCAUUAUGAGUUUUUGGUCAUGUCUUUUGGUUUGACCAAUGCACCGGCAGCAUUUAUGGACCUUAUGCAUAUAAUCUUCAAACCUUAUUUAGAUAUGUUUGUUAUCGUUUUCAUUGAUGACAUACUAAUUUAUUCAAGGAAUGAAGAAGAUCAUGCUAGUCAUCUCAGAAUAGUUCUUCAGACUUUGAAAGAUAAAGAGUUGUAUGCCAAGUUCUCUAAGUGUGAGUUUUGGCUUGAGUCUGUGGCAUUCCUAGGCCACAUUGUGUUUGGUGAUGGAAUUAAAAUUGAUACUCGAAAAAUUGAGGCAGUGCAGAAUUGGCCUAGACCCAUAUCUCCAACUGAUAUUAGGAGUUUCUUGGGAUUAGCCGGCUAUUAUAGAAGAUUUGUUGAGGGGUUCUCGUCUAUUGCAUCUCUUUUGACAAAGUUGACUCAGAAGACAGUGAAAUUUCAAUGGUCUGAAGCUUGUGAGAAAAGCUUUCAGGAAUUGAAAAAGAGGUUGAUUACUGCUCCAGUUUUGACGUUACCAGAAGGUACUCAAGGUUUUGUGGUGUAUUGCGAUGCAUUUAGAGUUGGUUUAGGUUGUGUCUUAAUGCAGAAUGGCAAAGUUAUAGCUUAUGCCUCCAGACAAAUGAAAGUUCACGAGAAGAACUACCCAACCCAUGAUCUAGAAUUGGCUNNNNNNNNNNNNNNNNNNNNNNNNNNNNNNNNNNNNNNNNNNNNNNNNNNNNNNNNNNNNNNNNNNNNNNNNNNNNNNNNNNNNNNNNNNNNNNNNNNNNNNNNNNNNNNNNNNNNNNNNNNNNNNNNNNNNNNNNNNNNNNNNNNNNNNNNNNNNNNNNNNNNNNNNNNNNNNNNNNNNNNNNNNNNNNNNNNNNNNNNNNNNNNNNNNNNNNNNNNNNNNNNNNNNNNNNNNNNNNNNNNNNNNNNNNNNNNNNNNNNNNNNNNNNNNNNNNNNNNNNNNNNNNNNNNNNNNNNNNNNNNNNNNNNNNNNNNNNNNNNNNNNNNNNNNNNNNNNNNNNNNNNNNNNNNNNNNNNNNNNNNNNNNNNNNNNNNNNNNNNNNNNNNNNNNNNNNNNNNNNNNNNNNNNNNNNNNNNNNNNNNNNNNNNNNNNNNNNNNNNNNNNNNNNNNNNNNNNNNNNNNNNNNNNNNNNNNNNNNNNNNNNNNNNNNNNNNNNNNNNNNNNNNNNNNNNNNNNNNNNNNNNNNNNNNNNNNNNNNNNNNNNNNNNNNNNNNNNNNNNNNNNNNNNNNNNNNNNNNNNNNNNNNNNNNNNNNNNNNNNNNNNNNNNNNNNNNNNNNNNNNNNNNNNNNNNNNNNNNNNNNNNNNNNNNNNNNNNNNNNNNNNNNNNNNNNUGCCAAGGUCUCUCAGACAGCAUGAUUCUAUUUGGGUAAUUGUCGUCAGAAUGACACAGUCAGCCCAUUUUCUACCGGUAAAGACUACCUAUUCAGCAGAAGAUUAUGCCAAGUUAUAUAUUCAAGAGGUGGUGAGACUUCAUGGAGUCCCAAUCUCCAUUAUUUCAGAUAGGGGUGCAUAGUUUACUGCACAGUUCUGGAAAUCUUUUCAGAAAGACUUGGGUUCGAAGGUGAACUUAAGUAUUGCCUUUCAUCCUCAGACUGAUGGGCAAGCAGAACAUACUAUUCAGACUUUAGAAGAUAUGUUGAGGGCUUGUGUGAUUGAUUUCAAAGGUAAUUGGGAUGAUCACCUACCUCUCAUUGAGUUUGCCUACAACAACAGUUAUCACUCUAGCAUCCAAAUGGCUCCAUAUGAAGCUCUUUAUGGGAGAAGAUGUAGAUCUCCUAUUGGAUGGUUUGAAGUUGGUGAAUCAGGGUUGAUAGGACCUGAUUUAGUUCACCAAGCUAUGGAGAAGGUUAAAGUGAUUCAAGAGAGGUUGAAAAUGGCACGGAGUCGUCAAAAAUCCUACACCGAUGUUAGGAGAAGAGUGUUAGAAUUUGAAGUAGAUGAUUGGGUAUGUUUGAAAGUUUCACCCAUGAAGGGGGUUAUGAGGUUCGGUAAGAAGGGGAAACUUAGUCCCCGGUAUAUUGGACCUUAUCGCAUAGUCAAGAGGGUUGGCAAUAUAGCUUAUGAGUUGGAGCUACCACAGGAACUAGCAGUGGUUCAUCCGAUUUUUCACAUCUCUAUGUUGAAGAAGUGCAUAGGAGAUCCUUCGUUGAUCAUACCUACUGAAAAUAUUGGGAUCAAGGAUAGCUUAUCUUAUGAGAAAAUUCCUGUUCAGAUUUUAGAUCGUCAAGUUCGCAGGUUGAGAAUUAAAGAUGUAGCAUCAGUCAAGGUCAUUUGGAGGAACCAAUUUGUCGAGGAAGUUACUUGGGAAGCCGAAGAGGACAUGAAGAAGAGAUAUCCAUAUCUCUUUGAAUCCGGAGGAAAGGCAGAUCAAGGUACUAAUUUCCUUCUUAGUGCUCUUUAAUUUAUAGUGAGCAUGUAGUUGUUGUUAUUGUUGUUGUUUGCAUGGUUGCUUGAUGGGUGUUUGAGUUGAUGUUACGCCCAUAGCCUAAUAAGAGUAACCACAUUCGAGGACGAAUGUUCCCAAGGGGGAGAUAUUGUAACGUCGUGCAAUUUGAAAUAACUAUGAAGAAGUUUAUAAUUGGAAUUAGUCAUUUUUUUGAAGAAGUCAGAAUCUAGAAAUUUAGUUAAGCAUGGGAAAAAAAUAAGUUUUUUUUGUCAACUUCAAACAGUCAUAACUCCUAUCUCAGAAUGAUUUAGGCGAAUUUCCAGUUAUGUAUGGAAAGCUUUUGGAAUGAUCUUUCCAACGCUGCCUAGUUUGCUCGAUUCCGAGUUCGUAUGAGUGAGUUAUGCCCUUUGGAAGUUGGGCUAUUGGCACAGCCGCACAGGGCAGUUUAGUCCGAAUUUGUAAGGGUAAAUUGGUCUUUUCCCUAAUCAUUUCUUUUGGUUAUGUUGAGGUGCUAGACUGAUUUUAAAUCAGCUCUCCCUUUUUAAAAGUGAGAGUUAGGGUUUUGGAGAGAAGAGAGAAAGAAGAGGAGAAAGAGAAGAAGAAGCAAGGAUUUAGUCAAGAUCGUCAUGGUUUUCGUCGGGGGUGAUCCCUAUUAAGGUAUGUGAGAUCAUAGUGUUGGGUUGGUUCUUUCCCCACACGCCAAACUCAUUUUUAAUUCCGAGAAAAGAUUGGUUGUGGUUGUUGAAUUCUUGUGGUUGUGCUGUUGAAGUUUCUUGUUGGUUUAGUAUAUGUUUCCGGUUGUGCUUUUGAGUUGAAUCUAUUGUAUAUUAAGGGUCUUUAUGAUUCUAAGUGUUUACUGCUGGAACCUUUGAGGUUGAGAGGGUUUAGAGUUGGAAAGAAACAAGGGGAAACAGUCAGAUUUUUGGGGGAAAAGGGCUGGGGUGUCGCGCCAGCCAGCGCACCCCAAAAAGGGACGCUGAACUUUCCCCUUGGGGCAGAGCGCCUGGCAGAACGCCCAGCAGGCCCCUCUGAAGUUUGAGGGCUGGCGCCCCGCGCCUUUUAGAGCGCCAAGGACUCCAAUCCUUCCUUUUACCUUUCAUUUCCCACUUUUUCAUACAUGUUCCUUGGUAAAGUACCUAUGUUUUAUAGUUGUUUCCAUUACUUUAAGGUACAUCUUAACAUCCCAAACUCAUCCAUAAACAUGUGAUCAUACACCUUGAAUUCAUAAUCCAAUUCGAGGAAAAUUAGGAUCCAAGUCAAGUGAAGUUAGAGUCAAGUUUAAAAGUUAAGAAGCAAGUCUUUAAAGUUUUUUUUCAAGAGUCUUUAUUGAACAUUUUACUUUCACUUUAAGGCUCAAGUUUCAAGUUGAGUAAAGGGUAUAGAGUUUCAAGUUGAGUAAAGAGUAUAGAGUUGAGUUCAUUUCUCAAAAGUUAUUAGGGAACUAAGUAUUCCCAAAGAAGUUUAUAAAUGUUUUUUUUCGUUUGAAGUAAGAAAGGAACUAUGAUUUCCAAAAGAGCCUUUGGGCUAAGUUUUGAGCAAUUAUCUCAAACUAAAAGAAAGAAGUGUGUGUUUAAAACACUUAUGAGCCAAAGUAUUUUUGGGAGUAGUAUUGAGCACCGAAUUGGGGAAGCAAGUUCAUAUUAGCUCAACUCUCUAUAAGAACCAUGCAGCCAAACAUGGGAUUUAACGGGUCAUAGUUUUUUAGAUGAUCACGUAAGUUAAGCUAGUGGAUCCACUAAGUAAAGUAAGGUCCUAUAUCACGGCAAGGUAUAGGAUGGUCCUUGGGCAACGUGAGGUAAAAUGUUGUAUCAUCACUAGGGCUCAUAGUGGUGGUUGUCGGUUAAAGAACCUCCCACAAAAGUUAUAUUACUUUUAUAUAAGUAAAGUUGAGUUUGUUAUCGUUUUGUCCUUAACGAACUAAGUUGUCUACAUUGUUUUACAAGUUUUAUAUGUAUUGCAUGUGUCUUAUUGCUUUACAUUUGAGUUCUUUUAUUCAUAAGUCGAACAGAGCCAAGGUAAGAGUUCCUUUUACUCUUUUCAAGCUUAAGUUGUUGUUUAGCUUUCCAGCUCGCAUACUCGUACAUUCCAUGUACUGAUGCCAGUUGGCUUGCAUCGUAUUAUGAUGCAGAUGCAGGAACCCAGGAUCAGCAUCCAGCACGCCGUUGAUCCAGCUGAGCACUCCAGAGUCAGUGGUGAGCCUCUUUGCAUUUCGGAGGACUCGGUUAUUUGGUUUUCUUAAGUUUUGCUUUAUUAGGAUGUUGCGGGGUCUGUCCCAACAUCCAUCUCAGUGUUAUAGAGGCUUCAUAGAUAGUCAGUCAGUUAGUAUUGAGUCUCUACUCUAUAUAUAGAUAUUUAUAUAUAUUCUACUUUGAGUCUUGAGUUGCCUUUUUGGCCAGAUUUUAUCAGUUGGGUUGUUUUAUGACCUUUUAUUGCAUGAAGUUAUUCUGUUGAGUUAAGUUUUCCGCUGAGUUAAGAAAGCCAGGCCAAGGGUUCGCUUGGGGCCAGCAAUGGUCUCCGAGUGUCGGUCCCGCCCAGGGUGUAGGCUCGGGGCGUGACACUAGAUCACCCAAAAGAUCAACCAUUGAGUCCAUGGCCGCAUUAGGAACAUUCCAAUCUGAUUUAAUAUUCAUUAAUCUAACUGCAACUGACAAGGCAGAAUGCGGACUCCCUUCACAUAGUGGACUACUAGACUCUUCUAAUUGAUCAUAGAAGCGCCUUGCUUGUUCAUUAGGAGCUUCAUCAAAAUAUUGUUCCGAUUUCAUCCCACCUUGAACCCCGAAAGCAUCAUUGAUCAUUUCAUGAACCCUGUCAUGUUCAACCCUAUCAUGUUCAACCCUAAUUUGACCAUGUGGUGCAAUCAUAUUAUAUUCAUCCACAUGCAAAGAAUUAUAAAACAUACCAUCCAAUCCAUCUCUUUCUCCAUGAUCAAUCCAUACAAAAUAUCUAGGCUUAAAUCCAUUACGCUACAAAUGAACCAUAAAUGUAACUGGUUUAAAUUUUUUUAACAGUUACAUGCACUACAAGGACACCUAACCAAUCCAUUAUUCUUGAAAAUGUCAAGUGUCAUUGUAUGGUCAAUAAAAUCUCUAACACCGUCAAUAAACUCAGGUUUCAAACCAGCACCAGUUUCAUAAUGCAUAUUAUACAUCCACAAACGAUGAUCCAUCUACAAAAAUAUAAAUAUUCAAUUAUAUUAUAAAUUAAAUUUAAUAAUAAUUUUACUACAUUAAUUCAUUGUUAAUAUAUAUUUAUAAUAAUUACUUAAUAAUUCUAAUUAAGUUCAAUUACUACAUUAAUUCAAUUUCUAAAGUAUAUUCAAGUUCAUAUUAUAAAAGUUAGUAGUUAUAUAUAAAGUGCAAAUCCAAUAAUUAGUUAUAUAUUCAAAAUUCUAAUUAAGUUCAAUUAGUUCAAGAUCUACAAAGUUAAAGCUUAAUUAAUUAAUCAAUACUAAUUAAUUAAGUUCAAAUUAAGUUCAAGUUCUAGUUAAGUUGAUCAAAAUUAAGUUUAUAUUAAUUCCUAAUUAAGUUUUCAAGUUAUUAUAAAUUAAUUAAGUUUAAUAAAGUUCUAAUUAAUUUAUAUUAAGUUCAAAUUAAUUAAGGUCAAUAAGAUUUUCAAGUACUACAAAAUUCUAAUUAAGUUCAAAUAAAAUCCAAGUUCUAAUAAGAAUAAAAAUUAAGUUCUAAUAAAUUAAAGUCAACAACAGUUCAAGUUCAUAUUCCGAAUUAAGUUCAAUUUAUAGUAAAUUCAAGUUAUAAUUAAUUAUAAGUUCUAAUUAAGUUGUAAUUCAAAUCCCUAAAAUUCCAAAUUCAAACUAGCUAGCUAGUGUCCCAAAUUCAAACUAUUAGUCCUAAAAUAUCAAAUAUAAUUUAAACUAGUCCUAAAUUCCAAAUUCAAACUAGUCUUAAAAUCACAAAUUCAAAGUACUCCUAGAAUUCAAAAAUCAAACUAGUGACUAAAAUCUCAAAUUCAAAACUAGUCCUAAAUUCCAAAUUCAAACUAGUCUUAAAAUCACAAAUUCAAAGUACUCCUAGAAUUACAAAAAUCAAACUAGUGCUAAAAUACUCAAAAUUCAAACUAGUCCUAAAUUCCAAAUUCAAACUAGUCUUAAAAUCACAAAUUCAAAGUACUAGAAUUCAAAAAUCAAACUAGCUAGUGCUAAAAUCCCAAAUUCAAACUAUUAGUAGUCCUAAAAUCUCAAAUAUAAUUCAAACUAGUCCUAAAUUUCAAAUUCAAACUAGUCUCAAAAUCACAAAUUCAAUUAGUUAUAUAUAACCUUCAAGUUCUAAGUUCAAUUAGUUCAAGUUCUAAAUUCAAGUUAAUUCAUAUCUAAAUUUCUAAACUUAAUUAUAUAUAAACUUCUAAUUAGGGGUAUUCAUGGUUUGGAUAAAAAUCGAUCCAAACCAAAAAAAUCAAACCAAACCGAUUAAAUGAACCGAUUUAAUUUGGGUUUUGGUUUGGUUUGGUUUUAGAUUGUUAAGAACCGAUAGUUAUUGGUUUGGUUAUGGUUUUGUUCCAAAAAAAUCGAACAAAUAACCGAACCAAACCAACAAGUUAUUUACAUAAAUUUUAUUAUUAUACAUACAUAAUAUAUUAUAUUCAUAAACAAUUUUAAAGAUUUUAUAUAUGUUUCAACAAAAUUUAUUUAUAAUUUACUUAUGAAAGAAAAAAAUGUCCAAGGUGAGAACAUUUUUUCUUAUUGGUUUCAUGUAUAUGAGUGUCUAUGAAAAUUCAUUGUGGGACUGAAAAUGUCAUUGUCUCUUCCUUCUAUGCCAAAAUAAUGAAUUUUGAAGUUUUUAUUCAGUAAAUUCAAUGAUCCAAAGUUCUGUAAUGCCAGUCAUUCUAACUAUUUUUUCGUUUGAAUGGAUUGUUGUCACUUUUUUCACGUUUUUGAAUGAAUUGUUUCUUUUAUUUUUUUGUAUGGUUAAUAACCGAACCAAACCAAAACCGAAACCGAAAACAACCAAACCGAUAAAUGUAUAUUAUAUUUGGUUUGGUUUAGUUUUUGAUAAUUUUUAAAACCGAUUAAGUUGGUUUGGUUUUGGUUUUGACCAAUAACCAACCCAAACCGACCCGUGAACUCCCCUACUUCUAAUCCAUGAAUUGGUUAUAUUCAAGUUCAAGUUCAUAGAUUCAUCCAUGGCAUUCAAACAUUCAACAUAUAUACUCAUGAUAUUCAAACUAACUUCUAACUUCAAAAUAACAAUUUACUAACUAACAAUCAUCAAAUUUACAAAAAUCACAAUUCACAAUCAAAUUACAGAAUUUCAUAUUCAAACUAGUACUUAAAUAAAAAAAACCCUAAUUCAUUUGCUAACAACCACAAUCAAUCAUUCAAUAAAACACAAAUUCAAUAACUAAUUAACAAAAUCAAAUAAUAUACCACAAAUUGAAAAAAUUAAAAACUAAUUUGAUGAAAUCCUAACCUUAAAUUAAAGGAGAAAGAGACAAUGGAGAGGGAGGGUGGCAGCAGCAGCAGCAGCGUCGGCAGCAGAAGCAGCAGCGCGGCGGCAGCGGCGGCGGAAGGUUCAUCGGCGACUUGGGCGAUUUUAGAGAGAAUUUAGAGAGAAAGAAGAGAGAAAAAAUGGAGAAAAUCCCGUCUGGUAUGCAGAUAUUUUAAAGAAAGCAACGGGCAGCGUCUCUAUGUCCGCCGCUUUUUAAAAAAAAUGUUUGACCAACAUUUUGACCAAAAAGCGACGGACUAAGAGUGUCCGUCGCUUUCUUAAAAUAUUUGACCAGAUAUUUUGACCAAGAAGCGACGGACAUAAAAGAUGCCGUCCGUCGCUUAUUUAAAAAAUAAUUAAACAAUUAAAAUGAAUAAAAAGCGACGGACGAUGUGGCUUUUUUUAAUUUAUAAAUAAUUAUUUUUAAUAUAAAGCGACAGACUGCAUCGAUAUUUAUAUAAAAUAAUUAAUUAUUGAUUAUAUAUAUAUUUGGCGCAAAAAUCCGCGAAAAAAGCGACGGACUAAGAGAUUCCGUCUGUCGCAUUUUGUAAAAUAAUUUAAAAAAUAUUUUUUUUUAAUUAAAAGCGACGGACGGUGUGGCAAUUGGCAUCGCUUUAUGGAGCCACGCCGUCCGUCGCUUUUUGACAGUUUUUUAGUAGUGGUUGUGUCUAGGGGGUUCACCCGAAUCCCCUUGGUCGAAAAAUUACGUUAUAUAUAUAGGGCCAAAUUCUGAUUCUAUGUGUACAUAUAUUAAAAUGAACCCUCUGAAAAUAAGUGAGAAGCUUUAGCUCAAUGGAUAAGGGGUUCAUCAGUGGCUUUUACGUCAUGAGCUUGAAUCCCAUGCGCAACAAUUCCUCUUCUCUUAUUUUUUUUACCCUUUUUAAUGCAUGGAAUUGGGUUAACUUUUGGGCUUGGAUCAUCUUCUCUUUUUCAUUAUUUUUUCUCUUUUAUGUCUUUUUUUUUCUAAUUUGUUUUUUGUUUAAAUUUAUUAGACCCAUUUUUUAUUCUUCUUAUAUCUAUUAGUCAUUUUAUUUUAACAUAAUUUUAUGUACAACUCUUUAAAAAUGAUGAAUUAUAUAUAUAAAGAUAAAUUAGAUGUAAUUUUAUGAAGAAACUAAAAAUCAUCAAUAUCCUUUUAAUAAUAUAUAUUUAAUAGAAUUCAGAAUUCAUGGAAUUUCUUUUCUAUUUUUUCAAUUCUAUUUUAGAGAGAUGGAAACUAAACUUAUUUGAUGUAUUCGUCAUUUUUUUUCCAACAAGUGAUGACUAACCUAGUAAAUUAAACUACAUGUACUAAAAAAUUGACGAUGCCAUUUAUUUAUCUUCUGAAUAUGCAUUAUAAUAUUGGUAAAUCUAUACUUAGCACACUUUUAUAGAAUCUUGAUAAUUUUCCUAGUAAUAUGUGUUUGAAUGGAUACUAAUUUAAAAAAUUUUAAAAUGCAAAAUAAAUUAAAACAUUAUAAAAUAAAAGUAUAAAAAGCACAAGAAAUUUUAAGAAUGUUGAAUGGAGCAGGGUAAAAGUAGGAAGAAAUGCUUAAUGCGGUACAAUAAGGUAAUAUAAAUUUCGCGGGUUAAGGUAAAUAUUUUUUCUUCUCCGUCUCGCUUCCUUUUUCAUCCUUUUAAUUUUCCUUUAAUUUUCACGUGUUUUAGGAAUUAACUUAUGUAAUACAACUGAUCCACUCAUAUUUUUUUUUAUCAGCAUAGCUUUGUUCUCAAUAUCUUUGAUUAGUUUGGUGUUAACUUUUAUCAACCAAUGAGAUACCUUGUACAAAAAGCAUGUCGGAGUUACUACGCUCACCGCGCACUUACAUUACCACAUGAGCUUCUUCUUUAAAAUUUCGAACCCCCUGAGCUUAAUUCCUGGAUCCGCCACUGCUGUCAGUAAAGUUUUAUACUCCCUCCGUCCCAUUUUAUGUGGCAACAUUUGACCGGGCACGGAGUUUUAAGAAAUAAAUGAAGACUUUGAAAUGUUUACCAAAUUGCCCUUUAGAAAGUACACUUACUUUACUCUCUCCUCAUAAAUGUAUUGGAGUAUUAUUUUAAGAUUAAGUGGGACCAACAAGGGUAAAAAAGGAAUUGCACCUUUAAAUACUUACCAUAUAAGGAAAGUGACAUUCUUUUUGGGACUGACCAAAAAGGAAAUGUUGCCACAUAAAAUGGGACGGAGGGAGUAAUUCAUUACUCUGAGGCACAUUUUACCGCUAAAAUAUGACUCAUAGUAACGUUUCUCUGAAAUGACUGAAAAUUAUAAUUGGGCAAAAAACUUAAGUAUACAAAUUAAGUUUCUUAAUUACCACUAUAUGACAAUAGUUUUUUUUUCGCCUAUAUAACAAUAGUUUUUUUUUCAAAGUUAUGUUUUAAUAUUAUAAAAAAAGCAAAAAAAAAAAAACACCAAUGCGUGCUCCAGAUUUAUGAUAUUCCCCAUUUUUCUCAAAUCCCAUGAUUUACUCAAAUUAGUUAUAAAUAUUCUCUCCUAUCAAUAAAAGGUUUCUUAACAAAUAUAAAACUCUCUUUCUAUUCAUUCUUCAAUUAUGCAUACCAACAAUUAUUCAAUCCUAAUUCAACAUAAAGGACGUUAGGACGCAUCAGGUAUUAAUGAUAAUUCAAUAUUUAAUUGGUGUUUUUUAAUCGUGUAAUUGAAAAACCUGAUCAUUGUUGUUGUUAUUCACCAAUUCCGUGAUUUGAUUUUUUUUUUUUAAUAAUUGUUUGGUUUUUUAUAUGGUUUUUAGAUUCGGAAUAGAAAUAAUAUAUAGUGAUUAACUAUUUUGGUAAUUGAUUUGGUGAAAUUAAUUUUUUUUAAUUAUCAAAAUUACGAAAGCAUAUUCAUUGUACUACUGGUUUUUUUGUGUCAUUUGGUGUAGACUUUAUUGUGCAUGAUUAUGGUGAACGUAUUGAUAAUAUAAGGGUACGUAAUGAUGGUUUAAACACCAUAUUUAUUUUAAAAAUCACUUUUAAAAAAUUAAAUGUUGUCUAUCUGGAGUUGUUUAAAUAAUGGUGUAAUAUAGGUUUUUUUUUUUUAUUAAUUAUUUGGUUUAUUGUAUGGUUUUGAGCUACAGAAUAGAAAGAAUAUUUAGUGAUUAUCUGUUUUGGUAAUUUAUUUGGUAAAUUUAAUCAUUUUUAAUUAUCACAAUGAUGGACUGCAUUCAGAGUUGAUUUUAUUUGGUGAAAUUAAUCGUUUUAAUUUAUUUGGUAUACUACUGAUUUUUUGUUGGUGUCAUUCGGAGUUGGGUUUAUUGUUGUACAUGAAGGUGGUGAACAUAUUGAUUAUGGUUUGGUACAUAAUGAAGGUGUAAACACCAUAUUUGGUGUAAUUUAUUCAUUCUGAUAGAUUGAACUAAACAUCAAUUUUAAAUCAUAAUAUACACUAAUUUAAUUUAUUUGAUGAUACUAAGAAAUUGGUUUAUAAAAUUAUGGUGUUAUGUAUUGUAAAUGGAACAAUCAAAACCAAGUUCUCAACUAAUUAUACUCCAAUUUUUAUAUGUAGUUUAUUAAUGACUGGUGUAAGUCUUGCAUUAUCUUAAUAUUAAACUCGACACCAACUUUAAACCAUCAUGUGCACCAUUUUGCAUACUAAUUCUAUUGGUAAUACAAGAAAUUUCUGAUUUAUGAAGGAAUUUCGAGUUUGUUUGUUUAAAUUUAAUUAACAUUGAAAAUUCUUAUGUUUUUAACUAUAUUUUGAAUGGUAUUACAGGACGGUGUGUAGAUUUCAAGACUGAAGGAGUAGUAUAUGACACAAAUAUCAAUAACGAUGUCUUAAUUAAGACUAUUGCUUUCCAAUUAGGUGUGGAUACAACAAUAUUUGAGUUGGAAAUUAAAUAUGGUGUGAGUGAUUGAUGUCUACCGAUGAUCAUCCAACAAAAAGGAUUGUACCAAAUUUCCACCGCAAUAAUAACAUUGCAGAGUUUAAUUUUUCAUUUUUUAAGAAUGAGAUUUUCUGAUUUUUUUUUAGUGGUAUUAAGAUAUUGGUUAUUAUGAGUUACUAUAUUUUUGAUUAACUUUGAUGGUAAGACUAAUUUGGUAUAUAAGUUGUUUAAGAAUUGAUGUAAUUUAUUAUAUUGUUGAAACUAGAAGUUAAUAGUGUCAAAAUACAGGUCUUCGUUGUGGUAUAAUAAUACCAUUUGAAUAUAUAAAAUUUUAAUACAAACUUUUCAACUAAUUUGAUAUAGCUUGAGGUAUAAAUUUGGUGUUCAGACUACACUACAUGUGAUUUGCCAACAAAAUGUGUGAAUAACGGAUGGUUAUAAUGAUGCAACAAGGUGUCAAAUUAGUUCAAAUUCAUUAACGUUUUAUAAAGUAAUUAUUUGCAAAUGCAUAACUAUUACUCACUUACAAUUUAAUGAAAUAUCAUGUCAAGGCAUUAAAAUAUAGAAUGUGGAUGGUGUAAGUAUGUUUAUUGGUAAAAUAUACCGUAAACAUCAAUAUUAAACAUCAUUAUAUAUCAUAUUACAUACCAAUAUUUUGACAAAUUUAUAUGUGUGCAUGUAUUUGUGGUAUAUGUGUUGGUAUAGUUAAAUUACUGAUUAUUUUUACAUAGGUAAAAGCAAAUUUAGGGGAUGUGAGAUUCGAAUUUGUUUUCAUAUCCAAUACCAACUUUGACAGGCGAUUGCGUAAAUGCACUCAACUCAUAAGAUGGUCUUGAACAACUAAUCGGCGGGCUAUCAAUGACUAUCACAGAUUUGUUAAGCCUAGGCCUUUUACGCGGAGUCUUUUCCAUCGAAUAAUGGUAAUAAUUUUGGUUAAUUGGAUUGUCAAACGAUUCGGUGAAGAAGAUUAAAGGUUUAAGAAAAAUGGAAGAAGAAUACGGAGAAGAAUAUGGAAGAGUUAACCCUUUUGACUGCUGAAAAAAAUAUUUUCAAGAUUUCUUGGAACUAUAACUCAACAUUGAUAAGUACACCAACUUUAUAGGUAAAAUAAAAGGCUUUAUAAAAAAAAGGAAUAAAAAAAGUAUGAUCCCAAAAAGGUCCCAUAAGCGUAAAAAAAAGGAAUAACAAAAUUAAUGAAAUGUGUGUAUAUAUUUGAAUCUGUAUUAGGAGAGAUAAUAUUUGAUAAAAUCUAAUACCUAAUUAUACUCCACAUAAAAAGGCAGUUAAUACUAAUAGUAUGAGAGAGAAAAAUCGAUUAAAACAAAAUUCAAUUAAAUACAAAAAUUAAAUAUUUUGUUAUGUAUGUAAUUUAAAAACUUAGUUUGUAAUUAAAUAUAAGUCUAUUGAUAUUUUGUUAAUAAAAGUCUUAAGUAGUAUACUUUUGUAAUUUUUCCAUUAUAAUUCAAUCGUGUACAUGUCUCCUCCAACUUUAUUCAACUUUUCAUUACUAAAAUGGAUAUAUAUUUUGUACAUACGCACGUUCACUUGAAAAUAUAUAUGAGUUUCUGAUUUUCUCUUUUCAUACGUAGACAUGAAUAUUGGUCCGGUUUAAUGUUUGGCUGUUAAAGAGGAAUAUCGUUACAGAUUUUCUCCUUUGGCUAACUCUGCAGCUACUAUAUAUUAAUGUAUGUACAAAAUAUAUAUAUAUAUAUCCAUUUUAAGAGUGGAAAGUUGAAUAAAGUUAAAUGAUGCACGUACAAGAUUGAAUUUCAAUUUUCAGUCAUUCCAUAGAAAUGUUACUGUGAGUCACGUUUUAGCUAUAAAACGUGUUUCAAAGUAACAUAUUAUAAAACGUUAUCAACAGCUACGUUUAUGUCUACUUACUCCGUCAUACCUUUGUCUUUUUGUCAUUGAUUUUUUUUUAAUAAAAUAUAAACUAAAACGUUACUGAGAAAUACGUUUAUACUAGUUUUGUAAAAUUUCAAUAAAAAAAUAUUUUAUUUUGAUGAAUUGAAUUUAAUAAUGACUUAUUUUGGUCAAAAAUUUAUUUUCGGAAGAUUUUUUAAAACCUUCUUCACUUUGAAGCAAACAUGAAACAUCAAAACAAGUUUCAACUUUACCUUUUAAAACCUUAGUCCAGAUACUCUAUGGACUUUACGUUUUCAACUCCUUUUUUACACUUGAACAAAUUAAAUUUGUGUAUUAUAUAUGGCCCCGCAAGUUGAUGGAUUUAUCCCAUUUAAAUCAUCUUUACUUCUCUUCCAAAAUUUAUGUUAAAAAAGUGAAUAAUUUUAUCGUAGUCUAUGCUACAUAGCUCAAGAAAGCAGGGUACAAAAUCUAAGAAAUCAAUAAAAGGAUCAAGACAAUUUUGACUAGCAACAGGGGCAGACCCAUAUAGAAUCAUCCGGGUGCUUAAACACCCAUUAACCUUAUAUCGUAAUAUAUAUAUAUGAACAAAUGGUCUGAUUCGUCCAAUGACUCUUAUUUUAAAUGAGUUUAAGUGUCUAAUUGAAAUAUCGUCAAGUAAAAGGGUCUAAUUUACAAUCUAAAUCAUGUAUAAGGGCCUUCCAAAUCAUUCCGCCAGUAAAAUUUAAAAUGAAAGAAGAAAAGACAAAGACUCAAAGUCUUUCCAACACUUGAUGAUUAACUUUCUUUUAAUUAAAGGGACAGUCAUUAUGUCCCCUCUAUUUUUUUGUUUUUUUUUUUUAUCAUUUCAAUUUAUUUUUGCCUCAAAUUUCUUUAUCUUCAUAUCAUUUUAAAAAAAAAAUUAAAUCGGACGUUGGGCCAUUUUGUUUUAAUAAAAAAAUGAUUAAUUGUCUAUAAAUGCUAAUCCAAAAGUGGCUGGCCAUCUUCAUAUCACUUUAUUUUUACACCAUAAAAAUAUAAUAUUAAGCAUUGUUGAAUAUUUGCUAUAGGAUUGCAAAUUUUUUACUGUAGUAAUUUUAUUAAAAUAGACCUAGUCAACUAGCUAGCUCUUUUAAUUAGGAGUUAAAUUCUAUUUGAAUUUUGAAUAAAUAGUAUUUUAUAGAUUUUAGGAGUUUAGUAUUUUCAGCAACUUUUUUUGUUUAAUUUUCGGUUAGAAGUUAUUAGUUUUUAAUAAAUUGUAUUCUUAUGCUGCAAUGAAAAAUAUUAGUCUUUCAACAUUAAUUUAACUUUUCUUUCUUGUUUUUUAUUCCUUUAAUAUUUUUAUUCUUUCAUGCAAUUUCUAUUCUUUUACAAACAAUUGAUAUCUAGAGUCAUUUUUCUUAAGGGACUUGCGAGUGAAGAGAUUAAUUCAAAAAAUAGUUUGUCAUGAAUGACUCCAUCUGUUUUUAUGGUGAAAAUUAUCAAUUAUGGGCGGUAACAAUGAAAACUUACUUGGAGGCUCUUAGUCUUUGGGAAGCUGUGGAAGUGGAUUAUGAAAUUAAUCUGCUACCAAAUAAAUUAACAAUAGCUCAAAUCAAGAGUCACAAGGAAAAGAAAAUUAUGGAGUCUAAGGCGAAGACAACUUUGUUUAUUGUUGUUUCAAUAACUAUUUUCACAAGAAUUAUGUCUCUCACAUCACCAAAAAAAAUUGGGAUUCUCUGAAGAAAGAAUAUGCUGGAGAUGAAAGAUUUUGAGGAAUGCAAGUAUUGAAUUUAUUGAGGGAGUUCGAGUUGCAGAGAAUGAAAGACUUUGAGACAAUCAAAGAAUACUCAGACAGAUUGCUUGGCAUUGUCAACAGGUAAGAUUACUAGACGCGAAUUUAAAGAUUCAAGAAUUGUUGAAAAAAUCCUUGGUACAGUGUCCGAAAGAUAUUAAGCAUUUAUAGACUUAGAAAAUACACAAGAUCUGUCCAAGAUUACCUUGGCUGAGUUGUUAAAUUCUUUUUAGGCAUAGAAGCAAAGAAGACUUAUGAGGCAAGAAGUUAUGAUUAAAGGAGUCUUAGUAGCUAGUCAUAAAGCUCAAAACAAAGGUAAAAUUUAGAAAUAUUACUCACCUUGUGAGCACUAUGGAAAAAUGGGUCUUCCACCAUACAAAUGUUGGAAAAGACCAUACGCGAAGAGUAGUAAGUGCAAUCAGCUUGGCCGUGAAGAAGUCAUUUGCAAAAAUAAAUUUGAGAACCAUGAAGUAGAUGCACGUGUGGUCAAUGAAGAAGAAGAGAAUGAAGAAGAGGAGGAAGAAGAAGAGGAAGAAGAGGAGGGGGAAGAACGAGGAAGAAGAGGAGGAAAGAGAGGAGGAGGAAGAGGAAGAAGAGGAGAAAGAAAAGGAAAACGAGAAAGAAGAAGAUGAGGAAGAAGAGGAAGAGGAAGCCGAGGAAGAAGAGGAAGAUGAAGAGGAAGAAGAAGAAGAGGAGGAGGAGGAGGAAGAUGAGGAAGAGGAAGAAGAAGAUGAGGAAGAAGGCGAUGAAGAAGAGGAAAAGGAAGAGGACGAAUAGGAAGAGGGAGAGGAGGAAGCAAAUGAGGAGGAAGAAGAAGAGGAAGGGGUUGAGGAAGGGGAAUAAGAAGAAGAAGAGGAAGAUGAAGAGAACGAUUUGAGCAUACAAUUUCUACUAAACCAACCAACAUUAUCAACAUAAUUUCAUAGUUUGGAGUUGUGCUCUUAAUUUACCAAUUUGAGUAAACAACCUUACAAAAUUCAAUUUGUAAGUUACGAUGAAGCACAUGUGACCAUCUCAUAGAUGCAACUAUCAUAUAGUUGCUAAUGGUUCACAUGGCAGGUGAACGAGCCCAUAUUCACCUUUUUAUAUGUUCCAAAAAUCUCAGGGGAUACAAUCCCAACCUUAGCUGGUACAAUGAUACAAUCAUUCAUAAGAACAAGCAACACAAGAGAAUUCUUGAAGAAUCUUUUAUUUCUUCAUCAUAUAAGUCACGUGAAUUCUCAAUUACUUUUGCAUCACAUUGGACCGGGAUGGCCAAUCGGUCAUGCCAACUGAUCUUUAUUUUUCUCAAACCUCCCGUAGAGGUGAGUUAUGACAUUUAUCAUUUUUCUCAAACUUCCCAUAGAGGUGAGUUGUGGCAUAUACCCAACCCAUAAUGAUUUUAUCAUAACUUGACUCAUUCUCUUUCAGAAUGGUCGAGCAUUCACGAUGCUUAUCACAAGUCACAUUCUCUUUAAGGAAUGGACUAAUCAUUUAUAUGUGCUUCAUAAAUUUGCACUAUAAGCACAUUGUCAUGCCUAUGCAUGACCCACCUCAAUAUCACUUUGAAAGGUCAAGUGUACCACCACUUUAUCUUCCUUUCUUUUGAUGGAGGAUUUUUAUAUUAUUAAUUCGCACAACGACCACUGGUCCAAUGACCUUUCAUACCAUUAUGAUGAUAAGAAUACCUUCACAAUUUGAAGGCUAUUUGGAGAACCCUCAAUGUUCUACCUUUCAUAAUUAUCACAAUGGUGACUAUUAUAAUUUUAUUCAUCUAUGCCCUUAUUCAUACGUUCAAUUACCUGUCAUCUUUCAGACUUAUUAUUCACUGCUACCAUAUUCAUAUGAUAGAAUGGAGCAAUUAGACGAAUUUCAAACUUAUCAUGUACUGUUACCACAUUCGCUUUAAGGAAUAGAGCAAAUUCAAUGGGACGGACUUCAUAAAUUUUCAUCAAAGCCUUAGUCAUCAUUAUAUCAUAACUAUGGUGCAUUGAGACUCAAACUCAAUGUCUUACCCGUAUAAGACGUGUUAGACCAUAAUUCUAUGAGAUUCGAACCCAAUCCUUAUCAUCAUGGUGCAUUAAAACUCAAAUUGAUGUCUUACUCUCUUGGUGCGAUAUAACAUGAAUCUACCGUCUUAUCCUCAAACAAUUUUCAUUGUGGUGCAUCUGGACUUUAACCUGAUGUCUUACCCUUUUGGUGUGAUGAGACUUGAAUCCAUUGUCUUACCCUUAACCAAAAAUAUAAUAGGCUGAAGUACAACAUGACUCACCCUUUUAGUAUUUCAAAAUAAUCAAAAAUAAUAUUCAAACUCAUGCUACUAAAACUUUGUACCUUUUUCCAUUAAAGGAAUUUUGUAGAGCAUGCCAUAUUCAACCAGUAGUAGUAUUUACCAUUGGUUCCUGAUCAAUGUUAAUGACCGAACACUAUUGUAUUCCAAAUCAUAAAAAGAUUCUAGAAAAUAUAUACCUGAUUUUAUGUAUAUAAUACAUUGAUUGUAGUAGUUAUCAUUUUUCCUUCUUGAUUCUCAUAACGAGAUCAAUCAGAACAUGAUCUAAAGUAAAAAACUAAAACUCAAUCUUAAACGUGUUGUAAAAUAUAAGCAAUGUACUACGAAUAAUAUAGACCAACGAUAUGAGGCGUAGAAUAUAGAGAUCAUCUUAUUCAAAUGUCUUCAUAUCUCGUGUGUGUUACAAUGGUGAAUGAACAAACCUAUUUAUAGGUUGAGAAGUUACUCCAAAAGUCACCAUAUUAAUUGUCAUAAUAAAUAGAUACAUUCUCAUCCAAAAAAGGUUCACAUAACCUAGGGAAUACACAUAGAUGAUAAGUAUAAGUUUAUGGAUAAACUCAAUGGACAAUCCACUUAGUUCAAUGGAUAACAGUAAUCGAAUUUUAAGAAAAGGGUCAUGUGAGAUGUUAAAAUUUUUGCUCAUCUAUGUUAUUUAUGUUUGAGAAAAGACUCAUUCAUAUUUCAUACCAUUAUUUGUUAAGUUAAAUGACAUAUAUGAGUCAAACUUCGAUGAGUCUUUUCUCAAAAUUUGAUGAUAUAUUUAAGCCUUUUCUUUUCCUUUUAACAAAUAAUUUAAUUAAUAAUAUGGAGGAAUCAUAAUUGACCAUAUGUAAAAAUGAUUUUGUAAAAUUGGAACUAUUUUCAGUUAACAAAUGAUGAUUUAUAUGAGUUUUUUCUCAAAUGGAAAUAACAUAGAUAAGCCAAACUUUUAACAUAUGGCAUAGAUGAACAUUUUCUCAAAAAUUCGGUAACAUAGUUGAGUCUUUUUCUUUUAAUUAGUGGCGUGACUGAAUCAUAAUUGUCCACGUAUAAAAAAUGGUUUUGCAAAAUCGAAAUUGUUUUUCCUUAACAAAUAAUGACAUGAAUGAGUCUUUUCUCAAACUGAAAUGGUAUAGAUGAACUAAACUUUUAAUGAAUAACAUAAAUAUAUAUUUACUCAAAGUUCGAUAACAUAUUUGAGUCUUUUCUCCGGAAAAAAAUAAAUUAAGAAAAUUAAAUGAACAUUCACAUUACUAAUUUUCUUUUUCUUUUGGUUAACCAUAUCACCAUCUUUGAAGUUAAUUCACCAAUUUACACACUUUUGGAGCUAGGGCCUAGAAUAAUACAAAAAAUUAUAAUAUAAAACUAAAUAAAAGAAAAGUGACGUGACAUUCCUCUUUAGUAAAGUAUUUUAUUUAUGUUUUUUUUGAUAAUUUUUUUAUUUACUUUUUAUUAUUAUACAAAAAAAUAAAGUCAAAUAGUACUUCUUUAUUUAUUUAUAUUCUUCAAUAUAAAAUUUUGAUUAUCUUUAUUUUUAUUACUCUCAUAACUUUUGAUGAUUAUAACUUCUAAAUCUCUAUAUAUAUAUAAUAAACAACUUUAUCUGUUCAUUCUUAUCCUUCAACUUUAAUGUUCAUUAUUAAUUGAUACUUUAUUCUUUAUAAAAUAUAACAUUUAAAUCAAUAUUUUGACUUAAUAUUAUAGUAUAAAGCAACGCAUUAUUACUACUUUCUCGGUCCAAUAAUACUUAUCUAUUAUUGACUUUGCACACUUCUUAAGAAAUUAUAAAUAAAAGUAUAAUUUCAUCAGUAAAAUUAAUCAUUGAUUUCAUAAAGUGGACAAAUAUUACUAUCUCUAUCCCUAAUUACUUGUUCACUUUUUCUUUUUUACUCAUCCCUUUUUACUUGUUCAUUUUGACCAAUCAAGAAAGAACAAUUAUUUUUUUUACCUAUUUAUACCCUCAAUUAAUUAUUUUUAAAAAGGUAGAACUUUUUGAAAAUUUUAAAAUUUAAUUCACCCACUUCAUAAUUAAUAAAAGUAAAAUGAUAAAUUCACCAUGUCAAUUAUUGAUUUAUUAAUAAAUGUGUUAAUUAAAAAAUGGAUAAAUAAUUAGGGUAGAGGGAAUAUUUUACAUUCCAAAAUAGUAUAUAGUAGAAGAGUCUACAAGACUACAAGCACACGGUCGACAUAUGUGCUCUUUGUGGAAUCUAGAUUAAGUUAAAUGUUAUUUUGAUCAUUGAAAUAGUAAACUUUAAUAAUUUAAUAUAUUUAAAAAUUAGAUAAAAAAGUAUUAUAAUGUUGUUGUUUUCAUGAUUUAUAGUGUCAUUUAUAUAUGUUGAUCAUUAUUUUUUAGGGUCAGACAAAGUCUAAAAUCAUAUAUUACUAUAAGCAUGAACAAAAAAAGUUGAAAGUUGAAUUACGGUUUUACCCCUUCUAUUAAUUAAAUUGUUAUAAAAUAUUUAAAUAUUUGAUUGUAUAAGUUUAAUUAAAAUGUUAAAUGACUUUUAGACUUCCUAAGAUUAAUUCCUAAUUAAAUAUCUAAUUUAUUAAUAUUUAUCAUCUAUAAUCUAUAUAUAUAUAUAUAAAAGAAAAAAUUAAAAAAAGUCUAUACCUAAAUUGCUAUACUUUUCCUCUUCUCAUAACUUUUUCCUUUAAUAUAAUUUAUGUGGAUAAAGUAUUAUCCUUUAUGAUAACUAACGAAAUUUAAUAAUUUGAAGGGUGCAAAUCUGCAAAAUGGAGACGCACACAUUGAUAAUGUCCUCUUGAUUAUUAUUAAAGAAUGACUCUAGCUUCACAAAUUUAAAUUCAUUGAUGCUUAAUUACGUGAUAAGAACUUUAGUUGUUUUUUCUACAUAGUUUGCUAACUUUAAUUUUCUUUUUCAUAUUCUUCAUUUAUUUACUAUUAUUUUCUAAUUACUUAUUCAACUUUUAUACUCUUAAUAUUCAUAACUCUCAUCUUUUCAUAUUCAUAACCUCUAAAUAUUUAAACUAGCACUUUAAGAUAUCUUUUGAUAUUCCUUCUAUUCUAUCUAUAUAAAUUCAACUUCUUUAUCUCAUGAAAUCCCUACCAAGAUUAUUAGGCUAUUAUUAUUUUUAUUCUAUAGUUAAAGUAGAUGAAGAAGACUCUUGAAUUUUGAUAGGAUAUGGAAGGAAUCGAUAAGAACUCGGAGAGUUAUGUACUAAUUUUUGUCUUCUUUUUUUUCUCUAUUAGACUUCUUAAUUUAGUUUUCUAUGAGUGUUUUAUUGUCGUAAGUCUUUAUACUUAUUUUGUAAUUGUUGCAUUUUAUUGUUCUUUACAAUUUACAUAUAUAUAUUUUCAUGAAAUUUUAGUCAUUCUAACGUAUCUAUAAAAAUUCACAUGAAACACACGUGCGAAGCCCGUGCUCAGAAACUAGUAGAUAAAUAAAAGUGAACAAAAGUACAAGUUUGUUUUACAAUAUUUUCUUUUGUAGAAAGAGGUUUUCAAGCUAAUGUUGGUGCUUUCAGGAUUCAAGCUGGUUCAGUUUAUAAUGUAAUCCAACCAUCUCUCCAGAUGACCCUAGAAAACUUAAUAUGACAACUCAAUAAUAAGCUCAAGUAAGAUGCUUUAUUGCUUAACAACAAAACUAUUAAUUAGAAUCUCAUCCAAUGUUAACAACAAAACUGAAAGCAAAUUGAUAGAAAGUGAAGGCUGAAGGGGCAAAACAACAUGGUCAGCUUGAAGAUCCAUCCAACAAACAAAGAUCCCAUAUUAACUUCAAGUUGUUUUCCAGCAUUUCAAACAUCAGAUCUUCGUCCAUUGUUUGCUUCUGCAUUUUUUGUAAGAGAAUGAAAAUCAAAUCAAAUAUUUCAGCAAUGAAGCGAAAAUUCACAAAUUAAAACAGACAAAGGAUUAUCAUUUCAACAAUGAAGAAGCACUGCAACAUUUUGUUUGUAUUUCCGUGGCACAUGCAAGUUGAGGUACUACCAUGACCAACUAUGAAUUUCUUUGAAGACGUAACAAAAUAUGGAUGUUUUCUACCCAACAGGAAAGCAAAACCUGCUUUGAAACAAUGGUAACUUUGUGUGGAUAAAUCAGCAAGUGUGGUACAGGAUACAAUAUAAUAGUCUAAGCUUAUGAUGCUAAGAACACUACAAUAUGGUGUGGAGUAACAUCAUGUGUAUCAUCAAUCAUGCAGUGACAUCCAAAAUUAUAAAGCAAAAAGAAAUGUUAUUGCAAGUACGGAAAGAGAACAUACUCGUAACUCUGAUAUAAUUCCAGGCAUUUUCAGGAAAAUCUCGUGUAACCUCACCAGUUGAAGAUUUGAAAUCAAAUCGAUCUGCAUGCCAAAGCUUAAAUCUAAUUGAUGAAUUUCUAUAUGAUUUUGCAGUUGUGUGACCGAUACCAAUAACAGCAUAUCAACCACCUGAAGAAUCCUUGCCAAUGGGCCAUCUCAAGCUACCCUGAACUUCUGAAUCCAAAAUGGCAGAACCAAUAAGAUCUUUAAUUCCAUUUAUCUGUUCAUCCUGUGAAAAUGCAAAAAGCAUUAGUGGUUUAAUAUCCUUGGCUACAAAGAAAGCAUUAGUGGUUUUCUUCCGUUUAAUUAACAUAAAUCCAUUCUAGAAGGAAACAUAGAAAAGUUAAUUGAAUAUAACUUACAGAUAAAAUCAUGUUGAUUUUCUUGGUAUAUAGUAUCAACCUCAGAUCUGAACUGUUUCCAAGACAGCUCAUAUCUGCUACCAUGUGGCGUACUCUGUUCAACUCAAUCUUAAUGUCAAAGGAAGUCGUUUUGUUGACGAAUGAUGGUGAUAAUUGUUAUUGCUUUUCCAACCAUAUAAAUAAGUACUUAAUUAGAUAUUUUAAUUUACAACAUACUAGAAUAUGAUUAAUGAAGUAGUAACUAACCUUAUAGAGCUCAAUCUUAUUAUAAUCUUUGGCAACAGUACAUUAGCAAGAAACAGUUGAAUUAGGUUGCAACCUAUCAGAAAGCUACAAAAACAAAAGGAUAUAUAGAGCUAAAGGAAACAAUAUACUAGGAGGAAGACAUUAAACUUGAAAAUCAUACCCGUAUGUUGUACAAUUCUUUCCCUUUCACAUAUUCUAGCCCAAGUUUCUCAACAACUCGGUGUUCUAUGUAAUCCAUAUAUGCAGCAGCUGAAUUUGCAUAAAAAUUCCGUUUCAUUUUUCUCACUGUUGCUUCACUCAAUGGGGUAGUUUCCAGGGAUUCUUCACAAAUUGAGGAAUUCCUGCAUACAGAGCUCUCGGAUUAAAUGUUGACAGAUGCAGUGUCAUUCAGGACCUAACAAGCCAGUGCUUCAAAGACUACAAACAAAUAUUCGCGAUAAAUAUUGAAUUCAAACGACAAAUUGUUUCCAGUUGUUAUAAAUUCCUAACAUUCGCCAUAAAAGUUAACUUGUGAUUAUAAGAAGACUGACCUAUAAAAGAAAUUUUUUCCAAAACGAGCAACUACAGAUUGCUUUACUUGUCCCAUAUCAGCUUCCUCCAUCUCACGCUUCAUAUAUGUUGAAAUGCCAAAAGUAAAUCCUCCUUCACAUUUGCAGCUACCAAAAGCCAUGGUGUAUCGAUAAGCUCGUUUGUUAUUCCUUCACUGCAACCUAGAAAAACAUAAAUAUUUGAAAAAAAACUGAAAUAAUUAAGAUCUCAGAAGCAUAAAUCUAAUGUGAAUUCAUGAAUCUAAUGUGUAUAAUCAACCAUGUUCAUCACUGCAACUCGAUCAGCAAUUCAAUUCAAUAUAGGGUUGUACACAAAUCGAAUAUGUAGACAAUUAGAAAUUGAUGCAAUUUCACAUACAUUAGGAAAUACAUAUCUAAAACUACUCUUCCGGUCCAAAAGAAGAAAGUUAUACCUUCCAUUAGAACCAACGAUAGAGCUAUUCUGUCUGAAUUUUGAUCGAAGUAGUCUGCAGAAAAAGGUUGGAGGCUGACAAGAGAUGAAAAUCGAGAAUAAUCAGCCAUGCCAACGGAGAACCAUUUCAAAAUGGAUUUUUUCCAGGAAAAAAUGGUUUUGCAGCUAAAAUUGUUCUGCUCCCCAAACAACUUGAGAUUAAGGCUUUUUCUGAAGAUAUUAGGAGUCAGAAAAUCCGGUGCCGGAGUUGGAUUUAACGAUGGAGAGCCCUUUGUUUGCCUCUUGUGUGGCGGAAUGUAAGACAUUAUAUUUGAUCACUUGCUUUGCAAUUUUGGUGAAAACUGAGUUGCUCUGUUUGCGUGAUCAUGGAACAUUUUAGAGCUAUAAAUAAUAUGUUAAACUGCCCGCUGGAAUACUUGAAUUUUGAACAGACGCAUUAUAUUAAUGAGCAUUAACAUCUGGGUUGAUGACCUUCUGAGCUUCUACUAAUUACAGUUCUACAAUGGUUCAUUGAAUUACGAGUACUAAAUUUGAUUUAAUUUUAAAAGCUAAAAAGUUCAUUUAACAUCCAACAUAAUGGUGUAUCAAAUAUAAUUCUAUUGGACAAUUCAAAUGAUUUUCGAUAUUCCUAUAGCCUGCAUGAACUGAAACAUAUCUGAGUUUCUUACCAUAAAUGAGUUUCCUUUUCUUAAAAGAAAAUCAUAAAGUCUCCAUAUUUGACUGAUCAUGUUUUUAUAGGAAAAUGUUUAGAGUUAGUUCAUUCUAACAUAGCAACAUUCACAAUGUAGUCCUAAAGGCUAGAGAGCUUUGUGUAGGGGAGAAACGGUUAGACACAGUUGUUAUGUUAAUCCUUGUGUGAACCUCUUUGUAUUCCGAGUAAAUUGUGUGAGAUUAUUCUUCUCUACAUUUUGUAUUCUCUUUUAUAUAGUGAAUUGAUCAUCUCCUUUGUGGAUGUAAGUCGGUUGACCAAACCACGUUAAAUAUUUGUGUCUUUCGUUAUAUUUCUUAUUUGUCUUCUUACUCAUGGUAUUUCGAGGUUUGCUUUGCUAACUUCCGCAUGACACCUAAUUAUUUCAAUCCUAACAAUAUAAUCCCGAGAUCCGAACCCGAUCCCGACUCAAGACCCGACCUGAGAGAAAAUUAGAAAAUAUUUUCUGGACAUAGCAAACACAUCCUAAUUGUUUACUACUCAUAAAACUUGCCUCUUGCAAUUUUCUCUCGCUUUAUACAAACACAAAUACAAUUUAUAUAUUUGUGUUUGUAUAAAAGUGAGAGAGAUGAGGGAGAGUGGCGAGCGAGAUUAGGGAGAGUGACGAGCGAGAUUGUCACGACCCGAUUUCUCAAGUCAUGAUGACACCUACUAUAACCCACCAGCAGGUAAGCCAACCCGUAACCCGGAACAACAAGUAAUGGGUCUGAGGGUAGAAACUAAACAAGAGUAGACAAAUAACAAUAUAAACCCCCAUAAGCCCGACGAGUACACAUAAUAACUAUAACUAAAGAGAAUUGCAUAAAAGAACCCAAGAACGAAGAACACGAAUCAGAACCUUAACCCUAAUUAGUAAAAUCUGACAGUACGGAGGCCGGACUUCGAACCGGAUGCUCACCAGAAGUACCCAAGUAACCAAUCACAGGUAACAAGUAUAAGAGGCCGGAACUCUAACCGGAUGCUCUAUAUAGGUAUCUGAGCAAUAGAGGCCGGACCUUAAACCGGAUGCUCUAUAUAAGUAUCUGGGAAAUAGAGACCGAACCUUAAACCGGAUGCUCUAUAUAAGUAUCUGGGCGAUAGAGGCCGGACCUUAAACCGGAUGCUCUAUAUAAGUAUCUGGGCGAUAGAGGCCGGACCUUAAACCGGAUGCUCUAUAUAAGUAUCUGGGCGAUAGAGGCCGGACCUUAAACCGGAUGCUCUAUAUAAGUAUCUGGGCGAUAGAGGCCGGACCUUAAACCGGAUGCUCUAUAUAAGUAUCUGGGCGAUAGAGGCCGGACCUUAAACCGGAUGCUCUAUAUAAGUAUCUGGGCGAUAGAGGCCGGACCUUAAACCGGAUGCUCUAUAUAAGUAUCUGGGCGAUAGAGGCCGGACCUUAAACCGGAUGCUCUAUAUAAGUAUCUGGGCGAUAGAGGCCGGACCUUAAACCGGAUGCUCUAUAUAAGUAUCUGGGCGAUAGAGGCCGGACCUUAAACCGGAUGCUCUAUAUAAGUAUCUGGGGAAUAGAGUCCGGAACUCUAACCGGAUGCUCUAUAAAGGUGCCAAUGUAGCUGUUGAAAGAGUCCCAAUCGAUCCAUACUCAGAAAUGUCCGUGGAACGCCGUCCGUACUUAGCUAAUCAAUGUAAGUCCUUGGAACCAAAUUGAAAAUCAAAUUCAAACCGCGAAGUAGAACUAGUGUCGCCGAUGUAACUCGUGAAACCGUAACAUCGGGGAAAAUAAGGAUAACUAUAAUCGGAGAAAGAGUAUCGCCUAACUAAGGCCUAAACUAUCAGACUCAAGUCUGCUACACCAGUCUACAGGGAUCUAAGCCGGCCGAGCGACGUCGAAGCAAAACUAAGGCCUAUUGGAUCCGAAUAAUGUAUUUCUGAGGCAAACCCUAGUCAAACCUAAACUAAGGUCCAACAUUCUUCGAAUAAACAAUAAUUAAGCAUGCAAGCACUCCACAUAGCGAGGAGGGUCCGUUAAUAACACAAAGCAUGCUCACAGUUACCCGAUAAUUCCCGAAAUAGGCCGAAAACAUGAUUUCUUAACACCUAUGUAGGAUUCAAUAACUACCCAACCCAAAUCCCAACUAAUCAACAUGCAUUCACAUUCUCGAGCUCAAUCUAAGAGAGGGAAAACCGUAGCCUACCUGUAGGCCAAUCACACGCGCUCCAAAAUCACUUCUUCGGAGCUUUUCCUUUCCGAACGGUCUCGAAACACUGCCCCACUAUCAAAAAUAGAGUCACAACAUUAAUAUGGUCGUUUAGACACCAAAAUCACAACAAAUGGAGACUGAUCAAUUUUGGAGUCGAAAUGGGAAUCGUGGGACCCGCACCGAACUGUUCGAAUUUGACUCCGUCAAGACACCCUAAACAGCACCCCAAAUUUGUGGUCCAAAAUGGAACACAAUUCGGGGAUCAAAACGCAUCAACACCCAACAAGCAAGAAAACCACACUUAUAUCAACUUAAAAGAAAACAUUGCAAUAGUCUAAACUUGAAAUUAACGAGAAUCAAAAAGUUCCCAGCACUCCUUGAACACUCUACGACGAAGACACGAUAAUUUUCAAUACGUGGGACUUCGAAUCACCCAAAACCGAGCUAAAAUGAGUGAGAUAUGAUCAAAACAAUAAUGCCAAAAACCACAGCUCGAAAAAGGGUUCUGCAGUCAGGUUAAUUACGAAAUUUACCUCAAACAGAGACCCCAAAUCACUAUCUGAGCUACCAACGCGUUGUCCUCGAAAAAUCUCACAACUUUGCCUUUUGAAUCGCCCAAAUCGGUUGAGAGAUGAGAGAGUUAUGAGGGUUUAAGUUUGGGAAUAUGUUGCUGUUUCUCUGCAUUUAUUGCAGAAAAUCUAUAAUUUUUCCCAAAAUUAAAAACUCCGACGGGGUGCUCCGAACUCGUUCGGAACCCCGUGCACGCAAACGAGAUAUGCAACCAUACCAAAUUUGAUAUUUCAGACUCAACGGCGCAGUCAAAAUUUCCAUCAGAGGUCAUUUCGAUAAAAAGUGGAUCCCACUUCCAAAGGCCAUUUUAAGUCAAAAACCACAAAAGGGCUCGGAAAGAUAUCGAAAACCUCGGGACACAAAAGAAGGGUCAAUCUAGACCAAACUUGAUAUUUCGGAGCUAACCGCGCUGACGAAAUUCUCAUCCGAGCGCGUUUACUCAGAAUGUUGACCAAAGUCAACCUUAAGCCAAAUUUCAAAGGCUAAAACGCCUAAUCGCACCGACUCACACUGAAAACCUCAGGAGUCAUGUUGACCAUGCUACUAGCCUAAAAUGACCCUUCUGGAGCUGAUGGAAUUAUUAGAAUUGGAUUCUGAUGUCAUCUUCUCGAACUUUUGAUCGAAAAUGAUCAUUCAAGGUUCAAAAGCUCCAAAACACUAAAACUCACACCAUAACCAAACGAACGACCAGGUGACCGAAUUGUCAGUCCCAGCAAGUCAUAAAUGACUUGGGGUCGCUAUAGGAAUGCUCUAAAUGACACACAGAAGGCAAGACACAUAAAUGACCUGGAGGGUCAUUACAGAGAUUUCUGGGGAGAAAGGCUAAUGACAAGUGUUUGCUACAUAUUAGAAUUAAAUGAAAUUGUGGUUAUAACAUUUAAUUUGAAUUAAUAAUUUGUUAUUUUAUACAAUUUUUCCAAAUAAAAAAUUGAUGGUACUGUGUGUGUUUCAUUAGCACCUAGUCUUGUACCAUACCUAUGCUUUGUCCACCACCUUGAACUUCUUUCGUCGCAAGAAAACUUUUUCUCCUAAAUUGGACUCGGUCGGGUAGAAACAUGUUGGAGGAACCAGUUCUUUGCUUACACUCCCCUUUCGUCAAUCAUCAAAAUCUUGUUCGAUCCAACACAUUAAAUAAAAAAGAAACUGACCAAGUAAAACCUAAUUCCACUAAUACUAAAAAAUAAGACCAUGAUAUGUUAUUGUGCGUCUGAUUGAUUUUUGGAGAAUCGGACAACACUAUGGUAAAAUCCUCAUACCAAUUGUUAUUUCUUAGGGCGGAUAAAAUCUAAAGUGGAUAAGUAAAAAUGAACAAAAGGAGUAUAAGUUUGUUUUACAAGGUUUUUUUUCUAGAAAAAGGUUUUCAAGCUAAUGUUGGUGUUUUCAGGUUUUGAGGUUUAGUUUAAUAAUGCAAUCCAACCAUUUCUCCAGAUGACCUUGUAUUUAUGGAUCCUAUAGAAAACAAAAAUUAGAAUGGAAAACUUAAUAUGACAACUCAAUAAUAAGCUCAAGUAAGAUGCUUUAUUCAUUACAGCUUAACAACAAAACUAUUUAGAAUCUUAUCCAAUGUUACUAACAUCUUGGGCCCUGCUUAAUUUGUGCAAUUCCAAAACUACACAUAGUGCAAUAACAUUUUUCAGUGUUUUUCGUUCAUCUCCAGUUCUUACUUCAGCAGAUCGAUAGAAAGUGAAGGGGAACAAAACAUGGUCAGCAUGAAGAACCAUCAAACAAACAAAGAUCCCAGAUUAACUUCAAGUUGUUUUCCAGCAUUUCAAACAUCAGAUCUUCGUCCAUUGUUUGCUUCUGCAUUUUUUGCAAGAGAACGAAAAUCAAUUCAAUUAUUUCAGCAAUGAAGCGGAAAUUCACAAAUUAAAACAGAAAGGAUUAUCAGCAUUUUGUUUGUAUUUCCGUAGCACAUGCAAGUUGAGGUACCAUUCAGACAUUCACUACCAUGACAUGAAUUUCUUUGAAGACUAACAAAAUUUGGACAAAUUCUACCCAACUGGAAAGCAAAACCUGAUUUGAAACAGUGGUAAGUUUGUGUUGCUCCAGUUUUUUGGAUGAAAUUGUUCAUAAUUCAGAGGAUAAAUCAGCGAGUGUGGUACAGGAUACAAUAUAAUAGUCUAAGCUUAUGAUGCUAAGAACACUACAAUAUGAUUUGGGGUAACAUCAUACCAUCCAUCAUGUAUAUCAUGCAGUGACAUCCAAAAUUAUAAAGCAAAAAGAAAUGUUAUUGCAAGUACAGAAAGAGAACAUACUCGUAACUCUGAUAUAAUUCCAGGCAUUUUCAGGAAAAUCUCCUGUGUAUCCUCACCAGCUGAAGAUUUGAAAUCAAAUCGAUCUGCAUGCCAAAGCUUAAAUCUAAUUGAUGAAUUUCUAUAUGAUUUUGCAGUUGUGUGACCGAUACCAAUAACAGCAUAUUGACCACCUGAAGAAUCCUUGCCAAUGGGCCAUCUCAAGCCGCCCUGAACUUCUGAAUCCAAAAUGGCAGAACCAAUAAGAUCUUUAAUUCCAUUUAUCUCCUCAUCCUGUGAAAAUGCAAACUAAAUCACAACACUCAUUAAAUUCUACAAGGAAACAUAGAAAAGUUUAUUGCAUAACUUACAGAUAAAAUCAUGUUGAUUUUCUUGGUAUAUAGUAUCAACCUCAGAUCUGAACUCUUUCCAAGACAGCUCAUAUCUGCUACCAUGUAGCAUACACUGUUCAACUCAAUCUAAAUAAAAAGGGAUUCAUGUCAAAGGGAGUCGUUUUGUUAACGAAUGAUGGUAAUAACUGUUAUUGCUUUUCCAACCAUAUAACAUACUAGAAUAUGAUUAAUGAAGAAGCAACAUGAAUAAAGUAGUAACUAACCUUAUAGAGCUCAAUCUUAUUUUAAUCUUUGGCAACAGUACAUUUGCAAGAAACAGUUGAAUUAGGUCUCAACCUAUCAGAAAGCUACAAAAACAAAAGGAUAUAUAGAGCUAAGGGAAACAAUAUAGCUGGAGGAAGACAUUUGUUUGAAGCUUGAAAAUCAUACCCGUAUGUUGUACAAUUCUUUCCCUUUCACAUAUUCUAGCCCGAGUUUCUCAACAACUCGGUGUUCUAUGUAAUCCAUAAAUGCAGCAGGAGAAUUUGCAUAAAAUUUCCGUUUCAUUUUUCUCACUGUUGCUUCACUCAAUGGGGUAGUUUCCAGGGAUUCUUCACAAAUUGAGGAAUUCCUGCACACACAGCUCUCGAAUUAAAUGUUGACAGAUGCAGUGUCAUUCAGGACGUAAAAAGCUAAUGCUUCAAAGACUACAAACAAAUAUUCGCUAUUAAUAGUGAAUUCAAAUGACACAUCUGUUGCGAUUCCAGUUGUUAUAAAUUCCUAUCAUGAUGAUAAAACUUAACUUGUGAUUAAAAGAAGACUGACCUAUAAAAGAGGAUUUUUCCAAAACGAGCAACUACAGACGGCUUUACUUGUGCCAUCUCACGCUUCAUAUGUUGAAAUGCCAAAAGUAAAUCCUCCUUCUCAUUUGCAGCUACCAAAAGCCAUGGUGUAUCGAUAAGUUUGUUCGGCAUUCCUUCACUGCAACCUAGAAAAGCAUAAAUAUUUGAAAGAAAACUGAAAUAAUUAACAUCUCAAAAGCAUAAAUGUAAUGUGAAUUCAUGAAUCUAAUGUGUAUAUUCAACCAUGUUCAUCACUGUGUGUCGAUCACCAAUUCAAUUCAAUAUAAGGUUGUACACAAAUCGAAUAUGCAGACAACUAGAAAUUGAUGAAAAUACAGAUACAUUAGGACAUACAUAUCUAAAACUACUCUUCCGGUGAAAAAGAAAAAGGUUAUACCUUCCAUUAGAACCAACGAUAGAGCUUUUCUGUCUGGAUUUCCAUCAAAGUAGUCUGCAGAAAAAGGUUGGAGGCCGACAAGAGAUAAAAAUCGAGAAUAAUCAGCCAAGCCAACGGAGAACCAUUUCGAAACAGCAAAUUUUCUGUAAACGAUGGUCUUUCCUCGAAAAUUGUUCUGCUCCCCAAACGACUUGAGAUUAACGCUCUUUCUGAAGUUAUUAGGCGUAAGAAAGUCCGGUGCCGGAGUUGGAUUCAACAACGGAAAGCCCUUUGUUUGCCUCUUGUGCGGCAGAAUGUAAGCCAUUAUAUUUGAUCUGUUGCUUUGCACUUCUGCUGAAAAUUGAGUUGCUCUGUUUUUUGAACAUUUUGGCGCUAUAAAUAAUACAGCUGCUUGCUGGAAUACUUGAAUUUCAAACAGACACAUUAUAUUAAUGAACAUUAACGUCUCGGUUGACGACCCUUUGAGCUUCUACUAAUUACACUUCAUUGAAUUACGACUACUAUAUUUGAUUUCAUUUUAAAAGCUAAAAGGUUCAUUUAAUAUCCAACAUUAUAGUGUAUCAAAUAUAAUUCUAUUGGACAGUUCAAAUGAUUUUCAAUAUUGCUGCAUCGAAUUGGAAUAUGUGUUGGGUAUUUGCUCUGAGUUUAUGAGUUUUUCUUUUCCUUGAGUUUAUGAAUUUUUCUAUUUUUAAAAGAGUUUGAUAAAGUAGAAGUCUAACAUAGUCUUAACAAGUCAUCUAAAACAUCAAAUAAGUGGUUGGGGUGUCACUCAUACACCACAUACAUCAUCCAAAAACUAGAAAGACAUAAAACAAGUAAAAGUGUCUCGCUCCUCAUAAAAUGAGGACUCACCAACUCUUGAAUUUGAUAGAGUGAUCAACUAGCCACGAGUGUGAGAAGUGGGAGCGUCGGACCCUAUAUUAAUGAGACAAUGUAGACACAAGUAUGCAUUAGUACAUGAAAUGGACUAAAUAUGUGGCAAUAUGCAUAUAUAGACAUGGUAUCAUGAAAAACUUAAACACGUGAGAUAUGACCAACAUUUGAGCAUUUAAAGGCUUAAGGAAACAACAUAUAUUUCAUAAGAUAUGGUCAACACAUUUAAAAUAAGAGACAUAAGAAAGCUUUUGAAGAAACAUAUUCGUUUUAGUUUUUUUGGGUAUUAGCUUUAAGCGACAAAAAGACCAUGAGAGCUAUAUCAUGGAAUCUGAUAUAUCCCUCGUACCGAAAGAAGGGGAUUCUACUUGCCAAGGUAGAAUCCGUACACAUCAUCUUUUGCUAAAGUGGAUCUACUAGCUAGGUCAUUUAAGACGAUCCUACGGGGUAUGUAGUUAGGGACUAGAGAUUGCUACCAGAGACUACCCUAUUUGAGCCUCCACCUCAAAUCCCUCUCGGUGCUAAGUCUAAAUCCCAACGGAAUAGAUAAGAAUCAAAUAUCAUUAUAACAUAGGAAAGACUAUGGUCAAUACUAAUCCUCAUCUUAAAAAUCAAAACAUAUAAUAGCUCCUUAAAUUACAAUUCAAGCAUAGGUGAGAAAACCUUUCACUAAUAUGAAUCUAUAUGUGAGAAAUACAUUUCAUAAUCAUGAUCAUAAGACUAUGUCUUAUGUGAGAACCUUUCACAACAACAUUGAUACUUUCAUUUAAAAGCACCAUAUCAUCAUAAACAUCAUUUUCAUAAGACAUGCAUAAUUCUUCAAAAUUCAUAGUUCAUGAGUUCAUCAUAAGUUCAUAAUUGAAAGUCAUGGAUCAUGUUUGAGAAAUGGAGGGGUGAGUUCUUGAUUGAUUGUGAACUAUACCCCAAAACCUUUAGUUGGAAUUGAAGAUGAAUGUGGGAGCUGGUUGAAAAUUUAUCUGCAUUUCAAUAUUUGACCUUAAAUCCUACUUAUGUAUUAUAGAAUUUCAAUCUACUUGUGAAUGUGGCAAAAUUCUUGGCUGUGAAUCUGAUAGUAAGAUUUGAUAUGUACUGUGCAACACACGCGCGCGCGCACAGACACGUAGAAUAUGCAUCUUGGACCAAUCAGCCUGAUAUGUGAGCGUGUGUGUUGCACAGAGCAGAUAUCAAUCAGAAAGAUUUAGAAGAUAGCACAAUCUGAUAUACUUUAUUUCUAUAGGUUGGAGUUGGUGGUCAUUCGAUUGAAUAAUGGCGCUUGCCCCUCAUUCAAACUUUCUGUGCAAUCAUGAAACCAUCAAAUGUCAAGUUGGAUCAAAGCUUCACAGUCAUACAAGAUUUGGCUGGGGUAGAGCAGAUUGCUUUGGUAGUAUAGUCAUAGUGAAAAUUUGUUCCAGAAGACAGCUGAUACCUACGUACUUGCAGAAAUCUCCUAGAAUGCGCUGUGGUUUGGAUUCUAGAGGUCUGCAACUAUCAUCACGGGGGAAACAAAAUCUUUCUUCUGCACAUAGCAUUAACCAGAAUGUACCUAAGGUGAGUUUUGAUAAAAUUUUAUUAUGUUGCUUCUCUUUUACUACUUUACGAAGGAAUGCGGGGAUCUAACUCUCUCCUCUGCAUCCUCUUCUUUCUCUUUGCUGACAGAAGUCCUCUAUUUAGGGAAAUACAAUAUGCAAAUUUCCAGAAGAUGUAGCUUUGAUGGUCUGGAAGAAAUGGGGCCAAUUGGCCAAAACAGCAAUUGUAACUCUAUUCAUUUUGUCAGUUGCUUCAAAGGCUGAUGCUCCCAAAACUUGUACUUGCUUACUGAAAGAGUGCAGGUAAUUGUGCAGAUGUUACUAAAGUAUGCCGGUAUACUUCCUUGUACCGAGUGUAACAUCCGACAAUUUGAAAUAGCUAAGAAGAGGCUUAGAAUUUGAAAUUUUCAUUUUUUUGGAAAAGAUUUGAAAUUCUGGAAAAAAUUGGCUAAGUAUAGAAAUCUGUGAUUUUUGGCCAACUUUGAGCAGUCAUAACUUCUAGCUCAGGAUGAGUUAGGAGUAGUUCCAGUUAUGGUUGUGUAGCUUGUGGAAUGAUCUUUCCAACGCCGCUGAGUUUUCUCAAUUCCGAGUUCGUAUGAGCGAGUUAUUCCCGUUGAAAGUUGAGCAGUUGGCAGGGAAUCCGUCCGGGAAUCAUUAAGGGCAUUUUGGUCUUUUCCCUAGCUAUUUUCUUUUGAGGAUAUAUUGUUGUGUUAGGAUGAUUUUUGGAUCUUUUAUUCCAUUGUAAGAGAGUAAAGGCUAGGGCUUGAGAAGAAGAGAAGAAGAGAAGAAGAGAAGAAGAGGAGAAGGAGAAGAGGAGAGGAGAUUAAGAAGUUUCCGACAAGAUCAUCGUGGGAUUUUCGUCGGGGGUGAUCCCUACCGAGGUAUGUGAACUUUUAGUGUUGGGUGAUCCUUUCCCCCACACACCUAGCCCUUCUAUUUAUUGAGAAAGGAUUGGAUUCGUUGUUGAAAUUGUUGGAAUUGUUGUUAAGGUUGUUAGUUGUUGAAGUUGAUAGUUACAUUGUUUGGUUGGUAGUUGAGUUGUAAUCUAUGGUAUGUUGAGGGAUUUUUGUACUUCCAUGUGUAUGGGGCUGAAACCUUGUUUGGGAGGGUUUAGAGCUGGAGAAAAGGAGUAUCCCAGAAUUAGUCAGUUUCUCAGGAGCAGUCGACGGACUAGAGGUACGGUCCGUAGAUCGAUCUACGGACCGUCGAUCCCCUCCGUAACUCUACACUUAGAAUUCUUCAGAAAUUCAGGAAUUGGAACCCCCUCAGUAUCAUCUACGGACCGUUGAUGGUCACCGUGGUUCCACACUUGGUCAUUUUUUUCCCUGAAUUGUCCUCAAUACCUUGCCUGCUGAUCUACGGUCAUGACCUACGGACCGUGAAUGGACCUACGGUCCGUAGAUCACUUCCGUAAAUGCCAUGUUUCUGCAUUUCUUCUUGUACCUAUGUCUCCAAGUUGCUUCCAACACUUCAAGUUGUGUUUAAAUGUCUAGCACUCUUUCAUAACAGGUGACUAUAUCCCUUGAAUCCAUAAUUCAAUUCAAGGCGAGUUAGAAUCAAGUUAAAGAGAAGUUAGAGUCAAGUCAAGCAAGUUUUCAAAGUUGUUCGAGAGUCUUUAUUGAACGUUUUACUUCAUUCUAAGGCUCAAGUUGCAAGUCAAGUAAAGAGUUUAAAGUUGAGUUCAUUUCUCAAAGUUAUUAGGGAACUAUGUAUUCCCAAAGGAGUUUUUAAAGAAAUGUUUUUACAUUUAAACAAGGUUGGAAACUGAGAUUUCCAAAAGAGCCUUCGGGCAAGUUUUUGAGUAAUUAUCUCAUAUCAGCAGGAAGAAAUAUGUUUUAAAAACAUAAGAGCCAGUACAUUUUUGGGAGUAGUAUCGAGCACCGAAUUGGGGGAGCGUUCAAAGAACCCACAGCCCCAUAGAACCAUGUUAGCCAUCAUAGGUAGAAGAGGAUCAUACUUUUUAGAUGAAUCCUUUUCAGAUUAGACUAGUGGAUCCAUUAGGCAGUUCAGGUCCUAUAUCUUUGGCCGGGAAUAGGAUGCUCUGGCAGCGUGAGGUUGAUCGCUGUAUCAUCACUAUAGCUCUUAUGUGAUGGUUGUCGGUUAGAGAAACUCCCACAACAGUUAUUGUAUUUCAUACACAAAGAUUAUUGUAUUUUUAUAUACAUCAGUUCAUUUGUAUUUCUAUAUACAUCUCAGGCUUAUUGUAUCUUUGCAUACACACAGAGUUUAUAGCAUGUUUUAAACAGUCUUUCUUUAUAUCGUACUUGUUUUAAAUUGCCUUAUAUUGAAAGAAGUCAGUCAGGUUGAGUUGAGAUGAGCCAGGUAAGCUAUUCAGUUUCAUCCAGAUCUCCUUCUAGCCUUUGUUGCUUAGUUCCAGCUCGCAUACUCGUACAUUCCAUGUACUGAUGCCAGUUGGCCUGCAUCUUAUUAUGAUGCAGAUUCAGGUACCCCGGAUCAGCAUCCUGCACGUCGUUGAUCCAGCUGAGCACUCCAGAGUCAGUGGUGAGCCUCCUUGCUUUCCGGAGGACUCGGUUAUUUUUGUGUUUCUAGUUUUAUUUUGUUAGGAUGUUGCGGGGACUGUCCCAACAUCCAUCUCAGUAUGUUAGAGGCUUCAUAGACAGUCAGUCAGUUAGAAUUGAGUCUCUUAGCUAUGUAUAUGUAUGUUUAUGUAAAUAUUCUAUUUUGAGACUCGAGUUGCCCCUUGGGCCAUAUUUUUAUCAGUUAGGUUAUUUAUGUCUUUGCAGGGCAUUGAGUUAUUCUAUUGAGUCAGGUUUCCGCUGAGUUAAGAAAGCCAGGCCAAGGGUUCGCUUGGGGCCAGCAAUGGUCUCCGAGUGCCGGUCCCGCCCAGGGUGUAGGCUCGGGGCUGACACCGAGCUACCAAUAUAUUUUGCUUUGCUACCCCUUGUAUGUUUCCUUCAAGAGUUCUGACCUUGUUUACUUUUAUCCCAUAUAAAAAUACAUAAGGAAUGUGAAAUUGGUUCUUGUUUGUACUCUGUGGAUUAUCAUCCUGGCUUAAUAAUUGAGUGGUAAGGAUGUCAAAUUCAGUUUUCACAGACAUAGACUAUCUCUAGCUUCUUAUGAUCAACUAUCCAUAAGUCCUUGAUUCUAGUUGUUAUUAUCAAUGAACUCAAGUUUUAACCAUAACCCCAACCGGUAAUGCUUUUCCAUCUAAUUCCUUUCUGAUUUUGAGACUUGUUAAGACUUUCUGUGUUCUAAUUAGGCCAUGAGAAUAGCAGUAUGAAUUUGACUUAGUUUCAGGAAGUUUUUUCAGACCAUUAUGGUGGUAAAAAUAACUGAUACUGUUGCUGUGCUAGGGAUGCAGGAAAGUUUCUACCAGUAUUCCAUUUUCCCUGAAACUCAAAAGAUAGCUUAAUUUGUUUCGAUGAAUGUGCCAAAAUUUGAUGAACUUGUAAAGAUAUAGUCACACAAAUGUCUAAGGUUUAUUUUAGACCACAAAAUUCGGAAGUCUUCUAUUCUUUGUUAAACUUUUUGCUAAGUCAAACGGUCCAACAUAAUUAGGACGGAGGGGAGUAGUAUUGAUGAGUUUCCACCUCCAUUCCAGCAUGCAUGUCUGACACUCUUAGGUGACUUAUCGAAGUAUUAUGCUUUCAGGAUAGAGCUUGCGAAGUGCAUCGCAAACCCUGCAUGUGCAGCUAAUGUUGCUUGUCUCCAGACUUGCAACAAUAGACCUGAUGAAACGGAAUGUCAGGUGUCUACAAACAUCUUAUUAAAACUGAAUAUUGAUUUGAUCACAUUUAUGGAAUAUGGGUGCAGAUAAAAUGUGGUGAUUUGUUUGAAAACACUGUUGUAGGUGAGUUCAAUGAGUGUGCAGUCUCCCGGAAAAAAUGUGUACCUCGUAAAUCUGAUGUUGGUGACUUUCCUGUACCUGAUCCAAGUAUUCCCAUCCAAAGGUUUGACAUGAAUGAUUUUAGUGGAAAAUGGUACAUCACUCACGGUUUAAAUCCCACAUUUGAUGUUUUUGAUUGUCAAUUGCAUAAGUUCCAUACAGAAGGAAACAAACUUGUGGGAAAUCUGACUUGGAGAAUAGGGACACCUGAUGGAGGAUUUUUCACUCGAUCAGCAGUGCAAAAAUUCGUGCAAGAUCCAAAGUAUCCCAGGAUACUCUACAAUCAUGAUAAUGAGUAUCUUCACUACCAAGAAAGAGGUUGGAGCUUCACAAGUGAGAAUCAUCAGUCAAACCAACAGGGAACCAUUUCCUAACUAUAAGGGCAGAAAUGAUGCAUGGGAUGGAUAUGGCAGUUCUGUACUUUAUACAAGAAGCUCAGUUUUGCCUGAAAGCAUUAUAUAUACCUGAGUUGCAAACUGCAGCCCAAAAAGUUGGUCGUGAUUUCAACACGUUCAUAAAAACAGACAAUACUUGUGGCCCUGAACCACCCCUUGUUGAGCGUUUGGAGAAGAAAGUGGAAGCAGGAGAGAGGACAAUCAUAAAAGAAGUUGAGGAAAUAGAAGAAGAAGUUGAGAAGGUGAGGGAAAGAAGUCAGCUUGUUCAGUAGACUGUUUGAAGGUUUCAAAGAGCUGCAACAAGAUGAAGAAAACUUUAUAAGAGAGCUCAGCAAAGAAGAAAUGGAUAUUUUGGAUGGACUUAAAAUGGAAGCAACUGAAGUAGAAAAACUCUUUGGAAAUGCAUUACCAAUAAGGAAAUUAAUGUAAAUAUUGCUAAGAGAGUAAUAUUAGAAACUAUCCAAAUACAGAAUGUAUAGCUUGUAUUUAAUAUAUUUAUCUUUUUGCCUGGAAUAGAUUCCUCAUAUAUCAUGUAAUGCUUCUCUCUUAGAGGCAUAAAUAAUACAUCUUCUCCUUUAAAAUCCCAUUCUGGUGUUUAACUGCAGACAUUGUAAGAUUUUUCCUCUAUGCAUCAAUAUGCUAUUUACAUUUCCCAACAUUCAGUAAAAUCAAAUAUGUGAACUCAGCAGUUCGAUCCAUUACAAAACAGAACUAUUUACAAUCUUAUCUAGUGUUCCUUACUGAUGCCACUAACAUUAGAGGCCUUGGUUCAUUUCAUUCCAUACACAAAACUAUAUAGUGCAAACAGCAUUCAACAUUUUGAGUUUAAAAAUUCAGUUAUCUACAUCUAUAUAUUCCACCACUGCAAACUACAAAAGGUAACUUUCUUCACCAACCGAACAUAGCUUGUGAGUCUAGCAGUUUCUGCAGAUAUUUUGCAAAGAGAAAGUGAAGGACCAUAAAAUAUGGUCAGCUUGAAGAACCAUCAUGCAAACAGUGAUCCCAGAUUAACUUCAAGUUGUCUUCAAGCAUUUUAAGCACCAGGUUUUCAUCAAUCGUUUGCUCCUGCAUUUUCGGAAAGAAAAUGUAUUAAAUUAAUUAUUUCAGUAGUGAAGAAACAGAAAGGCUUAUCAACUGGAUUGGAAUCAGUGAUGAAAUUUUGUUGCUCCAAAUAUAUUACCAAUAGAAAUAUACAUAAUUGCUCAUUAGAAGAAAACCUACCUGCAAUUGGGAUAAAAUCCCAGACAUUUUCAGGUUAGCUUCCUGUGCAACCUCACCAGUUGAAGAUCUGAAAUCAAAUCGAUCUGCAUGUCUAAGCUUAACACUGAAUGCGUGUGAAGAAUAUCUUCAUUUCUACUUUUUGCCUCUGUAUCCUUUUUCCUUUUUUCUCUCUUCUACUUACCCUCCUUUGGAUUUCAUCGUAGAAAUGAUUCAUAACUAGCUCAAUCCAGUUACUAGAGGACUCCAAUAACGCGCAGUAUUUGAGCAUUUUAACCCUACUGGUCAGC